UACAUCUAUAUAAGAGGUGAAUAUGUGAAUGAACGGUUAAACCUUGUAAAAGCUAGAAAUGAAGCCUAUGCAGCUGGAUUACUAGGAAAAAAAUGCUUGUGGAUCUGGUUAUGAUUUUGAUGUUCAUAUCCACUUUGGUGCUGGUGCCUAUAUUUGUGGUGAAGAAACAGCGCUUCUGGAGAGCCUUGAAGGGAAACAGGGGAAGCCAAAGAUUGAAGCCUCCUUUCCCUGCUAAUGCAGGAUUAUAUGGCUGUCCCACCACUGUUACAAAUGUGGAAACGGUGGCUGUUUCUCCCACCAUAUUAAGGCGUGGACCAGAGUGGUUUGCCAGUUUUGGGAGAAAGAACAAUUCAGGGACAAAAUUGUUUUGUAUCUCGGGACAUGUGAACAAGUCUUGCACUGUUGAAGAGGAAAUGAGCAUACCCUUGAAAGAGUUACUAGAGAGGCACUGUGGAGGUGUGACGGGCGGAUGGGACAACUUACUUGCAGUAAUUCCAGGUGGUUCAUCUGUUCCAUUGCUUGCCAAGGAUAUAUGCAAUGAUGUGUUGAUGGAUUUUGAUGCGACCGUUUGACGAAUUGCUUUGCAACAAUUGUGCUUUUUUUUUUUUUUUUUUUUUGGUCAAACGAAUAACUUUGUGCUGCUUCAACUCCAGAAACAUCUGCGAUGCUUGUUUUGUCAUUACCUUUUGAACAGUUAUCCCUUUGUGCUUCAACAGAUCCUAAAGUGCAUUUUUUGUCAAACGAAUUACUUUAACAGACGUCCUUUGUGACGUGCUACGUAAAACGAAGAACGUUUUUUGUUUUUUUUUUUUUUUUGUCAAACGAAUUACUUUGCUGAACUCCGCCGUGUAAGUUUAUCUUACAUUGCCGGUCCCAAGCCCGGAUAAAGGAGGAGGGGGAGGGCGUCAGGUAGUCGACAGCCGACACUCCAUGAUUACGUCGAAUCCUUAUGAAAAUGAAUCCAGAACGAAAUCGCGCUAAAGCUAGGGCGUCACCCGUAAGUGGCGCGCUGUGUGGCCCGAGCACAGUGAUAAGUGAGCAAGGGUCGCUGUAUCUCCAUCGGCACCCGGAUGCAGUGUUAAAUGAGCAAGGGGCUAUAGAAACUUCUUUUCGAACGACUCCACUCAAAGUUGUUUGGGAGCAUAUGCUCCUAUCAACUUUACACGGGACACACAAAAGAAGUACUUUGAUCCUAUUAGACGGGGAAUGGUGAAGAAGUUAGGACAGAAGGGUAGAGUUCAAGAGAGCAAAAUGCGUUUAGGAACGUGGAAUAUAGGAACCCUGACGGGAAAAUCUAUGGAAGUAGUAGAAGUUAUGGUGAGGAGAAGGAUAAAUAUUAUGUGCCUACAAGAAACUAAGUGGGUUGGGCGUAAGGCAAAGGAUCUAGAAAACUCAGGGUUUAAACUAUGGUAUUCGGGCACAAAUAGAACGAGAAACGGUGUUGGCAUCAUCGUGGACAAGACCUUGACACAAGAUGUUGUAGAUGUCAAGAGGGUAGGAGAUAGAAUCAUGGCAAUCAAGAUUGUAAUAGGACAAGAACUUAUCAAUGUGAUUAGUGCGUACACACCUCAAGUAGGGUUGGAUACGAGUUCGAAUGAGAAAUUUUGGGAAGACCUUGGAGACUUGGUGCAAGAAAUUGCUCAGACGGAGAAGUUAUUUAUAGGAGGAGAUUUAAAUGGACACGUGGGCAGGGAGACAGGCAACUAUGGAGGUUUUCAUGGUGGCCAUGGUUUUGGGGAGAGAAACGAGGAUGGGGAAGCUAUCUUGGAUUUUGCAAUGACAUAUGAUCUCUUCUUAGCCAACACCUUCUUUAAGAAGAGAGAAGAACACGUGAUCACCUACAAGAGUGGGUCGUCAAAAACACAAAUAGAUUUUCUUCUAAUGAGGAAAGGGGAUCGUAUAACUUGUAAGGAUUGCAAAGUUAUACCAGGAAAGAGCGUGGCUAAUCAACAUCGCUUGUUGGUGAUGGAUGUACAUAUCAAAAGAGGGAGAAAAAAGAACAAGACUUGAACGUGCCCAAGGACUAGAUGGUGGAAUCUAAAAGAAGAAAAACAAGCCAUUUUCAAAGAGAAAGUAAUCACCGAGUGUGUGUGGGAUAGAGAGGGGGAAGCUAACCAAAUGUGGGAUUCCAUGGCUAGUUGUAUCCGAAAAGUAGCAAAAGAGGUAUUAGGAGAGUCUAAGGGCUUUGCCCCACACCAAAAGGAAUCUUGGUGGUGGAAUGAGGAGGUACAAACAAAGGUGAAGGCUAAGAAGGAAUGUUGUAAAGCCUUAUACAAGGAUAGGACCGAUGAAAAUGGUGAAAGGUAUAGAAAAGCGAAGCAAGAGGCGAAGAAAGCUGUGAGAGAAGCUAAGUUAGCGGCUUAUGACAAUAUGUAUAAACGACUAGAUACCAAAGAAUGAGAGUUGGAUAUCUAUAAACUAGCUAGAGUAAGGGAAAAGAAGACAAGGGACCUAAACCAAGUGAGGUGCAUCAAGGAUGAGGAUGGAAAGGUUCUUGCUACAGAGAACGCGGUUAAAGACAGAUGGAAAGGUUAUUUUCAUAAUCUUUCCAAUGAAGGACAUGAAAGGAGUGCUUCUUUAGGGGAGUUGAGUAACUCAUAAGAGUGUAUAAACUACUCUUUUUAUCGUAGAAUCCGGAAGGAAGAAGUGGUUGUAGCUUUGAAGAAGAUGAAGCAUAGAAAAGCAGUAGGCCCAGACGAUAUACCAAUCGAAGUGUGGAAAGUUUUGGGAGAGACAGGUAUAACAUGGCUCACUGACCUUUUCAAUAGGAUUUUGAAAACGAAGAAGAUGCCAAAUGAGUGGCGAACGAGCACUUUGGUGCCUAUCUACAAGAAUAAGGGCGAUGUACAAAAUUGCAUGAACUAUAGGGGUAUUAAGCUAAUGAGUCAUACAAUGAAGCUCUGGGAGAGAGUCAUUGAGCAUAGAUUGAGGCAAGAGACACGGGUUUCGGACAACCAAUUCGGGUUCAUGCCAGGACGCUCAACCAUGGAAGCAAUCUAUCUCUUACGAAGAUUGAUGGAAAGAUAUAGAGAUGGGAAAAAGGAUUUACACAUGGUCUUUAUAGAUUUGGAAAAAGCGUAUGAUAGGGUCCCAAGAGACAUUCUUUGGAGGAUUUUAGAGAAGAAAGGAGUACGAGUAGCAUAUAUCCAAGCUAUACAGGAUAUGUAUGAAGGAGCAAAGACUGCCGGAAGAACUCAUGAAGGACAAACCGAAAGCUUUCCCAUAACUGUAGGAUUACAUCAAGGCUCAUCCUUAAGUCCUUACCUUUUUGCGUUGGUAAUGGAUGAGUUAACAGGACAUAUUCAAGAUGAUAUUCCUUGGUGUAUGCUUUUCGCAGACGAUAUAGUGUUGAUAGAUGAAACUCAGGAAGGGGUAAAUGCAAAGCUUAACCUUUGGAAAGAAGUGUUGGAAUCUAAAGGUCUUCGCCUAAGCGGAUUAAAGACAUAAUAUAUGGAGUGCAAGUUCAGUGCAAAUGGAGGCCAAAACGAGUUAGGGGUGAGGAUCGGAGAUCAAGAAAUACCAAAGAGCGACCGUUUUCGUUACCUAGGAUCUAUCUAUCUUGCAAAAGAACAGAGAAUUAGAUGGAGAUCUCAACCAUAGAAUACAAGCUGGAUGGAUGAAGUGGAAGAGUGCAUCCGGCGUGUUGUGUGACCGCCGUAUGUCACUGAAGCUCAAGGGAAAAUUUUAUAGGACGGCAAUAAGGUCGGCGAUGCUGUAUGGCACAGAAUGUUGGGCGGUGAAGCAUUAACAACACGUACACAAAAUGGGUGUAGCGGAGAUGAGGAUGCUUCGUUGGAUGUGUGGGCACACGAGAAAGGAUAAGAUUAGGAAUGAGGAUAUCCGGGGUAAAGUAGGAGUAGCCGAAAUUGAAAGGAAAGAUGAGAGAAAAUCGGUUACGGUGGUUUGGACAUGUGCAAAGAAGGCCUACUGACGCUCCGAUUAGAAGAUGCGACUAUGGGACAGAGGUUCAGGGCCGAAGGGGUAGAGGAAGACCUAGGAAAACUUUGGAAGAGACCCUAAGAAAAGACUUAGAGUACUUGGAUCUAACGGAGGACAUGACACAGGACAGAACACAAUGGCGUUCUAAGAUUCAUAUAGCCGAUCCCACUCAGUGACUUGGAUUUUCCAAGUCUCCAACCGAGAAGUUUUCCUCACUCGGGAAAUUAAGGGAACACUACCUCAACCUACAUGCUCCACUCAUAAAGCUUCAACAUACAAGCUUCAACAAAAGAAAAUUCAAAGAACUUAGCGAAGAAGGCUUUGGUGUAUUUAACACAAUACGUUGAAAUGAAGGAAAGCUUAUUUAUUGAUAUCCCCGAUAAGUUACAAAUAUGUACAUAUACUUGAGUCAAAAUAAACAAACAAGAGGGAGCCUUCACAAAGGUUGCUUAGGAGAAGUCUCAGCAGUCGGUAGAGCCCCAGAAAGAGAAGGCACCGGAGGGGGAUCAUUCGGAGCCUCAGUACUGGACAGAACCCUAGAAGGAUGAGGCAUCAGAGGUUGAUCAUUUGGAGCUUCAUUACGCGGUACAGCCCCAGAAGACGAAGGCAAUAAAUGCCUUUGGAACAAACCCACAAAUCUCUGAUGAUCAAGUAAAACCUGACCAUCAGAUUCCUUCAUCUGGUCAAGCUUCCUCUUCAUGUUUGUAGCAUAGUCAUGUGCGAGCCGGUGCAACUGUUUAUUCUCAUGCUUGAGCCCUCUAAUCUCCUGUUUGAGACUCAUCACUUCAGCCGCCAAUGAUUCAACUUGGCGGGUUCGAGCAAAUAGGCGUUGGGCCAUAUUAGACACAGAACCUGCACACUGAACACUGAGAGCCAGAGAAUCCUUAACAGCCAACUCAUCAGACCGUUUGGAAAGUAGUCUGUUAUCUUUGGGAGUGAGAAGGUUCCUGGCCACUACCGCAGCGGUCAUAUCAUUCUUCAUCACGGAAUCCCCAACGGUAAGAGGACCAGUAGGGGAGACGAAGGAUGGGCGCCAUAUGUUGUCUGGAGAAGGCGGGGCUGCCUCUUCAACAAGGUUCAAGUCAAAACGACGGUCGGAGGGGCCAGACAUUUUCAAAGGUGUUGAAGAGAGAAGAGGUCGGACAAAUCAAGAUCUUAGAAGUGCAAGAAUGGAGCUUCUACUGGUGGAUAUUCAAGUGUGUGCUUUGGAACUUAAUGUCAGCCCCUAUAAAAAUCUGCACUCGACGAAGCUUCAGAAAUCGAAGAGGCGCCUGCUCAGAAAUCGAAGAGGCGUUUGCUUUCUCAAAAGCUGGGCUGCUCAGAGACCACGAGGGUCGAUCUCAGAAAUCAAAGAGGCGUUUGCUUUCUCAAAAGCUGGGCUGCUCAAAGACCACGAAGGCCGAUCUCAGAAAUCGAAGAGGCGCUUGCUUUCUCAAAAGCUGGGCUGCUCAGAGACCACGAGGGCCGAUCUCAGAAAUCGAAGAGGCACCUACUUUUCCAGCCUUGUCAGCACCUGUCACACGCACACUCAGCUUUGCGGAAAUUAUGGGCAUUCUGUCGAAGAUUUCUGGCGAAGUAGAAAGCACAUGAAUCGUUACUGUUCAAUCACCCACUUCCCACACGCAACAGUAGCUCAUGGGUACCACAUAUAACUUUGCCAAAGUUCUCUGACAAAGUUGAGACACGUGAAGCUUGCAGCUCCCACUACAUCGCUCUGACCAAGAAGGGUAAAAGAAUAGCAAAGAAACAACACUAACAAAGUUUAGACACAUAAAUUUUGAAGGUCUAGCUACCAUAUUAUUACCCACAAGGGUAAAGGAACAGUACCACUGCUGGAUAAUUGGAAAGUCCCGGUGUGUCAACCUCUGUGCUUCGUGGCAAGGUAGACUAGCAAACAUGCCCAACCUUUACUCACAUUCGAGAAAACACUCCCAACAAGAUUGCUUGCUCCAAAAUCGAAGAGGCACCGCCCUCCGAAUCUCGAGAGCCAGACUCCCAACAUGAUUACUUUCUCAAAAAUCGAAUAGAGGGUAAAGGAACAGUACCACUGCUGGAUAAUUGGAAAGUCCUUGUGUGUCAACCUCUGUGCUUCGUGGCAAGGUAGACUAGCAAACAUGCCUAACCUUUACUCACAUUCGAGAAAACACUCCCAACAAGAUUGCUUGCUCCAAAAUCGAAGAGGCACCGCCCUCCGAAUCUCGAGAGCCAGACUCCUAACAUGAUUACUUUCUCAAAAAUCGAAGAGAGAGUAAAGGAACAGUACCACUGCUGGAUAAUUGGAAAGUCCAUGUGUGUCAACCUCUGUGCUUCGUGGCAAGGUAGACUAGCAAACAUGCCCUCGAGAGCCAGACUCCCAACAUGAUUACUUUCUCAAAAAUCGAAAACACCGCUCUCCGAAUCUCAAGAGCCAGACCCCCAGCAGCAUAGCUUUCUCAAAAAUCGAAGAGGCAUCGUUCUCCGAAUCUCGAGAGCCAGAUCCCCGACAGGAUUGCUUGUUCGAAAACCGAAUAGGCGCCACUUUCCAGAUAUCACAGACCACUUUUUCAAAGUGCUCUGACAGAGUUAAAACUUGUGAAGCUGGCAGCUCCCACUACCGUGCUAUGACCAAGCAGGGUAAAGGAAUAGCAUUAUUACUUGAUGUUAGGGAGACUCCUAUAUAUGUCGACCUCCAUCCCCAACGGACAGGCAGACCUGCAAAAAAUGCUCAACCCUUCCUCUUAUCUGAGAGGGCACUCCCAACGAAGCCUUUCGAAAUAUUCAGCUUUCUUUCCCCCCGAUAAUACCUCUGUAAACAAGCUAUACUAGAGCAAGAAUAUCUCAUAUCAUCAGGGUUAAAAGCAAGAGUAUCCCAUAUCAUGCUUUUUCCCUGUCUUUUCCUUUGGCCUUGUUCUUACCUGCAAGACAAGGAGAAAAGAGAGCAAUCAGUCAGCACUUGGAAUCAAGCUUCCAGCCAGGAACUGACUGCCUGGAACCCCUUACCUGAUUACUUACCUGGCAUUGCUCUCGAGUACUCAUCUUCAACAUCUUAUGCUUCCAGGGAAGAUACCGCAUCUGCCUGAGGAACAGAUAGGGCAAGUGAGAAGGAUACAAGGAAGCAUGUGGAGACAAGCGUAACAGCACACGUGCCGAUACAUCCACUACUCUGUCAAAAGCAAAAGUAUCCCAUAUCAGCAGGGUCGAACGUACUCUAGAUUUGAUGGACUUGUUUUGACCCUCAAAUUCUUCAGUCGGCCUUAUACUCUGGAGGAAACCAGAAAACCCUCCAGCCCAGUUCAAGAAUAAGCAUGUGGAAAGUUACUUCUUCAAAAGCAGAAGUAUCCCAUAUCAUCUCUUCUCAUUUUUCUUCUCUUUAUCCUUCAUGCUGCCUGCAAGAUAGGGAGAAUGUGAACAAUCAGCCGGAGCUCUGAUUGUUUACCUUGUCUGUCACCUCUUUCAGCAGAUCCCCUAGCUCGGCGACUUGGGGGACUCCUACUACAUGGUUUGUAUCGCGCUUGACCAAGCCUGAAACUACAAGUAAGCUUCAAGUGAAAUUGAUACAUUACCUUGUGCAUCUCCACCAGUUACAAGAUACCAUCCCUGGAUGGAAGAAGAGUACUUCCAGAGAAGAUGCCACAUCUACCUAUGAGACAGAUAAGGAAAGUCAAGACGAUACCACACUCCGGUACUUAGAAGUUUCGUGGUUACGAGAUCAUUCUCCCACAAUAUUUCCUAAUGUCAUUUGUACUAAAUCAUUCACUUGUACUCACUAAAGGAGAGCUUGAACCUAUGUACUUGUGUAAACCCUUCACAAUUAGUAAGAACUCCUCUAUUCCGUGGACGUAGCCAAUCUGGGUGAACCACGUACAUCUUGUGUUUGCUUUCCUAUCUCUAUCCAUUUAUAUACUUAUCCACACUAAUGACCGGAGCAAUCUACCGAAGAUCACAAAAAGUGACCGUUUUCGCUACCUAGGAUCUAUCUUGCAAGAGAACGGAGAAUUAGAUGGAGAUCUCAACCAUAGAAUACAAGCUGGAUGGAUGAAGUGUAAGAGUGCAUCCGGCGUGUUGUGUGACCGUCGUAGGCCACUGAAGCUCAAGGGAAAAUUUUAUAAGACGGCAAUAAGGCCAGCGAUGUUGUAUGGCACAGAAUGUUGGGCGGUGAAGCAUCAACACGUACACAAAAUGGGUGUAGCGGAGAUGAGGAUGCUUCGUGGGAUGUAUGGGCACACGAGAAAGGAUAAGAUUGGGAAUGAGGAUAUCCGAGGUAAAGUAGGAGUAGCCAAAAUUGAAGGAAAUAUGAGAGAAAAUCGGUUCCGGUGGUUUGAACAUGUGCAAAGAAGGCCUACUGACGCUCCGGUUCGAAAAUGUGACUACGGGACAGAGGUUCAGGGCCGAAGGGGUAGAGGAAGACCUAGGAAAACUUUGGAAAAGACCUUAAGAAAAGACUUGAGUACUUGGAUCUAACGGAGGACAUGACACAAAACCGAGCGCAAUGGCGUUCUAGGAUUCAUAUAGCCGACCCCACUUAGUGGGAAAAGGCUUUGUUGUUGUUGUUGUUGUAAACGAAUUACUUUGCUGACCGACAUCCCACCGUACUUAUUUAUACUAUUUUCGAUUGAUAAGUUUUCUUUUGCUGAAUUAUUUGUAUUUGUACGCCAUUGUUAAUUAAUAUAAUUUUUAUUAUAAAUGAUUUUUAUAUGUGAAAUUUAAACAGAAAUUAUGAAAUAAUAAUAAUAAUAAUAAAAUAAUAGUUUAAAUUGACAUAUUAUAGGUAAAAAUUAAAAUAUAAAACAGAAAUUAUGAAAAUAAUAUGAUAAAAUAAUAAUUUAAUUUGACAUAUUAGGUGAAAAGUAAAACUUUAAAAGUGUCAAAGUGCCGCAUAAAUUGUCGAAUGAAAUUUUAUGUAUAAAAUUUGACACCUCUUUCAGCGAUGGUUUAGGGUGAUCUUCAAGAAAGUUGUACUACAAACAUACUCUCUACUUUAGUGAGUUAAAAUGGCUAUGACUUAAUAAUUAGCUAAUAAGAAUUAAUUAAUUAUUUAAAAUAAUAUUAAAUCAAUUAGCAUUAUAUAUGGAGAGCAAGAGCUCCUAGAUGAAUUACCAUCCUAGGAGGCGGAUAUAGAGCAUGAUUAGAGUUGACUUUUUUUUAAAUCCUCUCUAAAUUAUUGUUAGGAGCUCAUUUAGGUUUUUCGGACUCAUAUUUCAUGUGCAUUAUCAUUGUACACAAUUAUUUGCAUGUGAUCAAAUAUUCUAGUGAAUGGGUUGGAUUUGUACCCAUGCAUCACAGGUUCGAAUCCCGUGAAUUAUUGUAAUAGUUUCAAACUCAUAGUAGUAAAUUUAAAAUAAAUAAAAAAUGGGUAAAUUGCAUAGUAACCUAUCAGGUUUGAGGUCUAUUACAAUCUUAUAUAACAUCUUCAAAACAUUUCCCUUUCAUACCUCAAGUACUAUUUUAUUUCAAUAUAAUAUAUCCGUUACAUUUUUCAUCCAUUGUUUUGUUAAGUGCUUACGUGGCUGCCACAUUUAUGCCAUGUGCUACCAAAUGUGUGCUACGUGGCAAAAAAAAUUUAAAAACCUGAAUUUUCUCAAAAAAAAACAAAACAAAAAAAGAAGAAAUCCAUUACAUCUGCCGUAACCCCCCCCCCCCCCGCAUCACCCUCUCCUCUCCUACCCGGCAUCACCCCAUUCCACCCCCACCCACGCGCAACACACCUCACUCAGAACCCCCAACCCACCCCCACCCCACCCCCCACCCGGCGACCCAGCGACCCAGCUCACCCAAAACCCAACCCCCACCUUUCUCUCAUCUGCAACCCCACCCACCCUUUUCUCCUCUCUACAACUCGCACUCACCUUUCUUUCCCAUCCGAAUCUGCUCGUCAACGAGUCCAUCGGCUCCGACAACGAGGUAUGCAUUUAAUUUUGUCCUUCAAAUUUUGAAUUAUUUCUUAAAUUUUAUGUGUUAAUAUUACGGAUAAAUAAUAAGGUUGAUUUCUAAUUUCAGUAUUAACCUAAUGCUUAUUUUUAGCUAUGCCCCUGAGACUAUUUUUUACCUCAUUUUGCUCUUUGUAACUCAAAAGUCACCAUUUUACUUCUUGAAACUUAAAAUUCGUUCUACUUUGACUUAUAGAAAUCAAAAGCUCACGCAGCGUAGCGUGGCCUCCUCACGGACUGUAUCCAUCAGCAUCAAGAGCAUUGACAUCAGAACCAUUGUUUAUCAAUGUAUAGACUAAAUCAACUUUCCCGUGUUGUGCUGCAUGACGUGCGUACCAUAAAACUCAACAUGACUAUCGAGUCCCUUUUGUGUUGCAGCAUUCUUAAACAAUAAUCUUUCAAAUUCUUCGCCAUAUUGAUUUGUAUCGAAGAGUUCCAUAGCAGUCUGACCAUGUUUAUUCAGCAGGUUCAUUUCAGCCCCAGCGUCGGUAAGCAAUUUGAAAGUUUCAAGGUAACCACCGUCUACAGCUAUCAUGGCAACUGAGUGUCCCUUUUCAUCCUGCUCAUUGAGAUUAACGUAUGCUCCCUUAAUCAGUUUCUUCAAAGCAUCAACAUCGUUUGCUAGAGUCACAAGCAUUCGAGGAGAAAAUAUUGAAGUAUCGCUUGAUUGAACAGUUUCACCAGAUCGAAUCACGUCUACGACUGCUUGUCUGAAGUUAAGAGCCCAUCUUGCUGAGUCUACAAUGAAGCUUGCACUAUGACCAGUAGCAUUCACCAUGCCAAAAUCAGCACCGUCUGAAGCCAGGAUUUUAAUGCAUUCCUGGUGUUUAUAUCUAGCACAGAUCAUUAGUGCAGUUUCUCCAGAUUCUGUCUGAGAGUUGAUAUUGCACCCGGCACUAAUCAAUAGCAUCACUGUCACCAAACAAAAGUUAUAUGUUCAAGCAAUUAAAACACAGAGAUUUUGGUUAUGGUAACCUUGAUUGUACUUCACACCUAUUUAUGCUGUCCACAAUCAUGUUUUAGGCAAUGUAGACUCAAUUAAAAACAUAAAAACUUAAAAGUGCUUAUGAGCAGAGGUUAUUCCCUACAUAAGGACGAGCCCUAAUUGACACGUAAACCCUUUAUGGAUUUUUCGAUUAAUCAUUGAUUAAAAGUUACCUUGAUGAGAGUGUCAACUAAUCAACAAAGCCUCUGCAGGAAGUGGAAGCAAGAGCAUGCACAACAGACAAUCCUUGUCCAUGCACAACAGCCUGAGGGCAGAUCAUGUCGGAUCCCAUGAGCAUCUCGGAAGACCUAGCCCUGCCCAAGUAGCUUGCCUCCAACAAAGCCUCCUCACAUGCCUGCUGAGACGCGCCCCCAUUGAUGAGCACCUCCAAUAUCUCUAGAGUAAUGUUAGUGAGAUUGAAUUUGUAGACUAAAUUUGCAAUCUAAAUGAUGUGUCAUUAAUAUGAAUGAGCCCCGUUUAUCAACGUCUAAGUAAUAAACCAAUGAUCAAUUUAUCUGUCUUUUAAUUUUUAAAAUUUAGUCUACAAAUUUAAUAUUCAUAUCUCCAAGUGUCUAUCCCUUGCUGCUGUUGUUGCAUAUCAUCGAAAUGCUCGUAAAUGCCGAUUUUGCUCAAUUUCUUGUCAAUUACAACAUACUUUGAUUUCAAACAAAUAACAAUAUUAAUAAUUAAAAUAAUAACAAUCUGGACUAUCAGCAACAGUUUCAACAAGAAUCUUGAUGCAAUUUCACAUCCAUUUUCUCUCAUUCCCCGAGAAACAAACACACUUAUCAUAAAAACGAGAGUUCAGAUUAUUUUUUAAGGACAGUGUCCCAAAAAAAUUAUUUUAAAUUCACUCGAAAAUGUUCGCAAGAGCUUCCUAACAACAAUUGGUGAUAUCAAAGCCUAAAAACUACUUGGCCUACGUGUUGCACAGGCUGAAUAGCUAAUAAGUUAAUUACGUCAUUCGGUUGAAUACUGGGCAUGCCAACUCGUCGGCCGAGCUUAACCGGGAAGUGAAUGAAUGUUGAUGGGGCGUUGGGCACACUAAUGACUUGUAAAUCUUUCGAUUGUGCCCAGGAAAGAAUAUGUCUCGGUCUUCGAGUUCUAGAGUUUAAAGACGACAUUGCUAGUUAUGUGAAGUUCAAUAUCAAAUUCGGCUUUCAGUAUGCUGAAUGUCGUAACCUGAUAACACAUCACUCCCUCUCCCAGAUUUCCACGUUGGCAAUUGGAAACUGUACAACAGUUCCCCAUAUCCUAUUCGAAUUCAAACCCAUCAAACCCCAUUUUAAUUUCUUAAUUUCUCAAUCACUCCCUCUCUCUAUGCUUUUGGGUUUUGUGGUGUUUGGAUUAAUGAGUUUGUGUUUGUUCUUAGAUUAACGCAUAAGAUCUGCGGCAGCAACAACAAUGGAGGCGACAACGCUGCCAGCAACGACGGGGGUGAGAUGAAGAAGGGAGACGAAGGUGAGAUGAAGAAGGAGGAAAGCCCAUCACCGAUUACCGUUUGGUACGUAGACGGGACGAAACGGAACGGGAUGGGACGGGACGGAACAGGAUGGAACGGAUGAUGUAAAUAUUGAAAAAGAUAAGGAGAAAUUUUGUCAUAAAAUAUUAUAAAUUUGUGUUCCACGGAUGUGGAACGGGUCGUUCCAGGGGAAAGAUGUGGAAAGAAAAAUCAGCCAAAUUUCGUCUCAUGGGACAACCUGUUCCACAAUUUUUAGGCGCACCAAACGUGGGACGGAACGGCUCGUCCCGUUCCGUCUCGUCCCGUCCCACGUACCAAACGGUAAGGUUGUCAAAUGCGCCAAAGCUUUUGGAGGUCCAAUAAUAAAUUCUUCAAAACCUUUGCUUAAUUAUUGGAUAAUAAAUUUUCAAGGUUGAUCUACCAGCCAGGUCACUGUCUCUUCUUGUAGAGAGAGAAAAUGGUAGUGAGAGAGAGAGUAAUUUAAGCGGUGGAGGUAUUGGGGUUGUACAGUAGUAGAAGAAGAAGCAGAGAAAAAUGGGGACGCUUCAGACGUGGAAUGGUUACGAUGCUUCUCAGGUACCGUUUGGUACGCAGACGGGACGAGAUGGGACGGGACGGAACAGGACAGGACGGUACAGGACAGAAUAAGACGGAACGGAACAGGACGGAAUUGAUGAUGUAAAUAUUGAAAAAGAUAAGGAGAAAUUUUGUCAUAAAAUGUUAUAAAUUUGUGUUCCACGAAUGUGGAAUGGAUCGUUCCAGGAGGAAGAGGCGGAACGAAAAAUUAGCCAAAUUUCAUUCUAUGGGACAACCCGUUCCACAGAUUUUAAGCGCACCAAACAUGGGACGGAACGGUUCGUCCCUUUCCAUCCCGUCCCGUCCCGUUCCACGUACCAAACGGUACCUCAAGGACUCCAAAAGUCGGCCUUGCCCACGUCAAAAGCGAUUUACGCGGUACCAAUUCCUUUUCCUUUUGUUUAAUCUCCGUUGAUUUAACUAAUUAGAAGAAAACAAUAAAGAUUAGAUUUUGGUAAUCCGAAGGAAUUGGAUUUUGAUUUUUGGAUUUAAGUUUGUUUUCUAAGAAUAGGAUUUGGAUGUUGCGAUAGUCAAAGCCACCAACCACGUCGACUGUCGAGUGCCCGCCCAAAGAGAGACAUCUCAGAAGUCAGUUUUCUAAAUUUUCAAAAUUUUCAGAUUCGUUGUUUUAUCCAAUGGGUGGUUCAACUUUGAUCCAAAGAUGUGAGUUUUACAUUUGGGGUGUUUUGUUUGAUGCAGAGAUGUUGCUUAUUGCAUUCAUGCUUUUUUCAAGAAGAUUAAGCAAGAUGUUAACUACACUGGGGAAAAUUAAAGAACAAUAAAGAAUUGAGAAAGAUGAACAACCAGAGAGAAGUUUAGAGAGAAAUAAUGCUCUAUAUUUCUAUAAAUAUGACUGGCCAUAUUGCAUUUGUGAGUUGCAAUUCCUAACAUAUAUAUUGAAUACAGUAGAAGCUUACUUGUAAUUAAUUAAUCAACUAACAAAUCUUUAACAGCCAAACAAAUAUUCUAACAACUUUGACUGACGUGACAAUGAUUAUAUGAUAGCCAAUGAUUAUAAGACAUAUGUCUUCACAAGACCCCUAAUUGGACGGUAUGCCGUUCUUGCCCAUUCCAUUGCAAAUUUGCAAUGCCAUCCCUUUUAAUUUUGAGAUUGUACUGGAUGGUUAUUGGACUUACUAUGUAUCUAUUUCCUUUGAAUUUCAAGUGGGGUUUGCUUAAUAUCGGGGAGCAUUUUUGUUCACCAUCGUAGACUAUGGUGUACGCUUACCAUACACCUAAUCAUCUGCCAUGUAUCAUUUUUCUUAACUACUAUUAAUUUUUUUUCAAAAUUGAAAAAGUUACAUUUAAUGCGAUAGUUAACUACAGUUAGAUAAAAUGACACAUGGGUGAGCAAAAAUGCUCCCUUAAUAUCGUUGUUUACCAUGCCCUACUAUAUUAUUUGAGUUUGCUUGGAAAUAUACUUGGUCAAGUACAAAUGUAAAACCAAUAAACAUUGUACGUUGGGCAUCUCAUAAUAAAUCAUUAACAAUGCAAAGGUUCAAACUAUUUGUUAACUAAAAACAUUAAAAUAAAUGUCUUUUGACAAGUAUAAACGUAAAAAUUAACAUUAAACAUUGUACGCGUGUAGUGAGCUAUAAUUAUAAAAAUUUCAUACGUCGCGAGUAGCAACCCACUGAAUUUCAAGUGAAGAGAGGCUUUUCACAAAUGUAGAAAAAAAUGGCUGAUAACAAUUACAAACUACUAACCAAAACAUCAUAAUAACAUAUUCAUUGAUAAUAGUGUGUUUGAAAGUGUUUUGAAAAUGACUAAAGACACUUUCAAUGAAAGUAUUUUUAGAACCAAUCUUUAGUUAAAAUGUAAGUGAAAUCCUAAAAAACAACUUGAAGUGCUUAUUGUAAGAAGUACAUAAUUGGUGAUUCUUCUAAAAUUUCACUGGAAUCUAAAACACUUUUCACCAAAAUAAUUUCAAUCAUUUUAAAAGUACUUCCGAACAUGCACAACAUUAAUCGUUACAUGGUAACCUGGUCAUCUAUACUAUUAAAUUUAAUCGAGAUAAUUAAUAAAAAAAAAAUACGAACACUUAAAUAAGAGGCAUGAUAGAGAUGAAUAAUAAAAGGUUAUCAAGAAUAAGAUAGAUUUACAAAUCUCAUUCUUGAAUUAAUUUGAAUUUACAUAUAUGUAUAUAUAUAUAUUGCUUCUAGGUUGCAGUUGCACCGUGAAAGAGAAAGAUCAAGUUAGAUUUUUUUUUUGGGGGCUUUCAAACUAAAAUGGUCUUUGAGAUUUGCAUAACAUAUCACUUUGGUCUCUGAGAUGGAAAAUCAAUAGAAAUUGUCCCUGAGAUUGUCCACCAUCCAUUAUUUUGGUCAUUCCAUUAAAAACUUUGUUACGUGUCUUGGAGCUCUUGGCCGAAAGUUUGGGCAAUUUUCAAAGCUUCGUAAUUCAAUCGUUUCUUAACCAAAUUCGACCCAUAAUAUAUCAAAAUGAAGAUAGGAAAGUGUAGAACAAGAUUAUACCAUUGGAAAGCCCAAUGGUUUCCGAUAAUGGUCAGAAAAUAGCCUGAAAGGUGACUAGUCCGCGGGAAAACUGGAAAACUCGCCAAAAACUGGGUAAACUUUAAACGUUCAUAACUUCUUCAAUACUCAACGAAAUCGAGUGAUUUAAAAAUGAAAAUCAUACUUCUCGAUGAGACAAAGAGAAUGAUACCUUUUUUAUGGCUUAAUAGCUAUGAUUUGGCCGGAAAAAGGCUCAAAAGUGGCUGUAUUGGUCUCGAGCUAGCCAAUUUCGAACCGUUUUCCGGCCAAACCAUGGCAAAUUAGCCGUCGAUAAAGGUACCAUUCUUAAGAAUUUUGUAUGCCUUCUUGAUUGGGUAAUAACGUAAUUUUAUAACUAGUUUAUGUCAUUUAAUCUUUCAGCUUUUUGUGGCAUUAUUUACAGCCAGAUUGGCAGUAAUAACUUCACUGGAAGAAUACCUGACUACUUUCGAAGUUGGAAAAACCUCCGGGCUUUGUAAGAGAUCUCUUUUCUUUCACUUUUUAAAUUCUCAACUGAAAUAUUUUCAUGUGUAAUCCUAAACCCAUCAAAUAUGUUGUUUACAGAGAGAUGCAAGCGAGUGAUCUUGAAGGCCCCCUUCCAUCUAGUCUCUCUGCCUUGAAUAAUAUGACAGAUCUGUGAGUCCUGCCUUCUAAGCUAUGAGUUAUCUUAAUUUGCAUGAUCUCCUUGCGUCUUUCUAAUUUAGAGAGAAAAAUGGAUUUAUGAAGAUACUUGUAUUCCAACACGUUAUCAUGCUGUAACCUUUUGCAGAAGGAUUAGUGACUUAAGCGGUGAGAGUUCAGCUUUUCCAAACUUAUCAAGCAUGACGGGCAUUAAUAAAUUGUGAGCCAUAUUUUAGGUUUUAUAUAUAUUUCUAUUAGCAUAACGCAUGCAGAUGAAAACUAAUUUUCGAAUAUUGGUUGUUCAAAUUGCAGGAUGUUAAGGAGCUGCAAUAUAACCGGAGAAAUGCCUGAAUAUAUCUCUACCUUGACAAGUCUGACUGUUUUGCAAUUCUUCUAUCUAUUAUUCUCCAUUUUUUCAUGACAUGGUCGUCUUAAUAAUUGGUUUUACACUGUAGCUCUAGAUUAUUACUUGUUUAUACCAUAUUUAGGGCCUCGUAUUUAGACCUCGUAUAAAUACUCGAGAGACUUAAAUGUAAUUAUGUAAUAAAGGAAGGGGCAAAUAUGUAAUUAGGAGAGGAGCCCUUAUUCUAUAAAAGGGCCUCCUCACCCUCACAAACCCUAAGUCUCUCCUAUCUAGAGCAAAGCUCUCACAUUCUCUCCCUCACAAAUACUCUCACAUAAAUACAAUCAGUGUGGACGUAGCCCAAACCUUGGGGUGAACCACGAUACAUCUUGUGUCAUUUACAUUUCUUGCAGAUUCACGGUCGGAUUUACGUUGUUCCAAGACCUCCGGUUUUGUGCAUCAACAUUUGACGCCGUCUGUGGGAAUCGACACAAAGCUAUGUCGGUUCUCUUUCAUUUUUUUCAUCACCGCCAUGAAUCUGCAGAAACCAAGAACCCAAAUCUUUCCCAGAAAAUCCCCACAAACAACAAGCCACCAUGUUAUCUCCUCUCUUUUUCUCUCUCUAUUUGUUUCUGUAUCCUCAUAUAGAGAUCUGAUAAAUAGUGUUUGGUGGUGUAAAGAUACAAAUCGAACGGUCCAGAUCAACCCCAAACUUCUUCACCUCCAUGUGUUUCUGAAGCACCAGAUAUCAACCCCAACCUUCUUCGUCCGACAAACUUAAAAAGCGGCAAAGCUUCAUCCCAGGGUCGCUGAUCGACCUAGCCCGAUCGCGGGGCAUCGAUCUCGUUCGAAUCGACACUGAGCACUCGCUGGCAGAUUGGGAAGCGUUCAAACCUGACGAAGAUGAUGAAUGGGUCAGGCCAUGGACCAGGUCUGCACUCUCGGGUCAUAGAUCGGGUCAUGAACCGGGUCAACGACGCCCGCCUGGAGAAAGCUCUGGCCGUCUGCGAGGACCUGUUUGAGGACACGAUCGAUCAGCUCAACAAUUCGCCGACCUCCGCCGGCAGCACUACAAGAAGCUUCAGUCACCAAAAGAUUGGGUGCGCAGAGAGAUUUUGUAUGUAUGUAAGCCACCCGUUGGUCCAUCCAGAAAAGGCCCCACCCACGACUAAAGCGACAGCCCAGAACGCUCUCAAAGUGAGAAUGAAUGACGUCCAAGGCAUGCCUGGCACCCUCAGUGGGCUCGCCCUGCAUCUCUGCCACCACAACUCUCACGACCCGUUUGCAUUUCUCGGGUCUGAUGGGUUAAGACCUUCUCGAAAUGAUGUUGUCGAGACUACCAACAUCUGCCUUCUUCCACCUUACUUCAAUGUGCAAAAGAUGGAAAUCAGGUGCAUCUUCUCCUAGUUUUAAGCUUGCCUGCUCUCAGAUCCCAUUUCGGGAUCCAUGGUUUUUUAGAGUGUGAGAAAGCUGUAGUUAGUCAUCCUGAACCCCACGAUCUGAACUACCACCUACUACGCCGUCCGCCAUGGGGCCCACGCCAUCCUCACUCUCCUCUUCCUUGCUGAGAUCACGAGCGGCUGCCAGAACGCCUGGACCCUUACCUGGUUUCGAAGGGCCGGUUCGCCUACCGCAAACAAGGUAUACGAAUUUUGUCCCCUAAAUUCUAUGUUUUUUUACAGUGGGUUUAAAGGGAUCUUGGGGCCGGUGUUCAAGGGUAGGUGGUUAGCUUCCCACAAAAAUGUCAGAAAAUAUCGUAAAAGUGUCAUUGUUCCCAGCAUGUUUCCAUCUGAAAAAAAGCUUUACAGAACAAAUGGACGCAAAUGAUAGUAUGGAAGUGGGAGAAAAGCAUGAGAAUGGUGGAAAUGUUAAAGAUGCAUUGCAGUCAACUGAUGAUCCUGCAACUGUAGCCAAUGAACAAUAGGAGGAAGUUUCUGAUUUUCCAUUAGAACGCUGCAUGAGGAUAGUCCCACAUGAUCAAAACAGAGGAGCUUUCUUUAUUGCUGUCUUCCACAAACAUUCUGCUUUGCCAGGAGCGAAGCAGCAAUUUCUCGAGGCAUUCAUCAACAAGAAAAGCAGAAAGCAGCUGUCACUUUGGCUGCAAUUAUUACCACGGAAAUAUCAGUGUUAAAACCAACUGGAGUCAUAAAAGCUAUGGAUACCAAGCAGCUGUCAUUUUAGAGAAAAGCAAGAAAAGCAAUGGCAAUUAAAAGGUUAAAGUCAAAUGGUCUCCAAGGCCAUAGAACAUGGGUGGACAGAGAAGGAGCAGAAAGAGAAAGCAAAAGCAAAAGAUUAUUCCCUUGUCUAUCAUCUGCCAAAAGAAAGAAAAAUAAAGAGAAAGCAAAAGGGCAGCAGAAAAACAGUGCAAAAGCAAGGAAUAAACACCCCACCCGAAUGAUGUAAUUUAUUUUUAUUAUCUUUCGGAGACAUCUGUAUAAACCCCAUCAGAGGGUAAUAUGUAUAAACCCCAUCAGAAAGUAAAAAAAAAAAAAAAAAAAAGCCCAAAAUAAAUGGGCUGGAAUGUUGUGUAGAGAGCGAAGGCCCAUAAGCCUAAAAUAGCACCAACCAGGUCAUCAAAAGUACACCCAAUACUCCACAAUUAUUCAGCAACUCGCCGCUAUUACCACUAACCAGGAGACCAAAAGUACGCCCAGUACUCCAAAAUUAUUCAGCAACCCGCCGCUAUUACCACCAACCAGGUGAUGAAAUGUACAACCCCUACUCUAAUAUCAUUUGGCAACUAGCCAUUCAUGCCACCAACCAGGUGAUGAGAUGUACAACCCAUACUAUAAUUUGGCAACUAGCCAUUCAUGGCACCAACUAGGUGAUGAAAUGUACAACAUGUACUCUCCUUCAUGCCACCACUAGGUGAUCAAAAGUACGACCAGUACUCCAAAUUAUACAUGAGCAUUACUCAUGUUAUUCAUACAUAAACAUUCAUGAGUAUCACUCAUGACAAUCAUACAUAAACAUUCAUGACCAUCAUUCAUGUCAACAUUCAUGAGCAUCACUCAUGUUAACAUUCAUGAGUAUCACUCAUGACAACAUCCAUGAGCAUCACUCAUGUCAAUCAACAUAAACAUUCAUGAGCAUCAUUUACAAAAGCUCCAACAGCUUCAAACGCUUCAUUUACAAAAGCUCCAACCUCGAAAGCUUCAUUUACAAAAGCUCCAGCUUCAAAGCUUCACUUGCAAAGCUUCACCUACAAAGCUUCAGUGCAGGGUAUACAAAUACCGUCUCCAAACAACCGCCACUUCGGCCCAUACAUAGAUUCAAUUUGAAGUCUCCAGCCAACAGACUCUAUUGACCGAAGACUUGGUGGACUACAUUAUGUACCAUAUAUUGGGCCUUAACUGGGCCUCAUGAAAAAUACUCGGGGGACUUAGCCCAUUACUUAUGUAUUGAGGAGCGAACCCUUAUUCUAUAAAAGGGACUCCCUCAGUUUCAUUAGAGAGCACCCAUUAUUCAUGUACUGAGAAGCGAGCCCUUAUUUUAUAAAAGGGACUCCCUCACCACCAUUAGAAAGCAUCGCCGCCUACUAAGCAACCGCCUCGUCGCGAGCAUCAACUUAGCCCAUUACUUAUGUAUUGAAGAGCGAACCCUUAUUCUAUAAAAGGGACUCCCUCACUUUCAUUAGAGAGCACCCAUUAUUCAUGUACUGAGGAGCAAGCCCUUAUUUUAUAAAAGGGACUACCUCACCACCAUUAGAGAGCAUCGCCGCCUACUGAGCAACCGCCUCGUCGCGAGCAUCAACUCUAGCCCAUCAUUUAUGUAUUGAGGAACGAGCCCUUAUUCUAUAAAAGUGACUCCCACACCAUCAUUAGAGAGCAUCAACUCUAGCCCAUCAUUCAUGUAUUGAGGAGCGAGCCCUUAUUCUAUAAAAGGGACUCUCCCACCUUCAAACGCCGCAAGCCGAGCCAACCAAGGCAACAUAAGCCACGAGCCGAGCAGCCUCGCAGCGUGUGCUACUUCUAGUUGAGCAUCAUUUCAGAUUGAGCACUACCUUAUAUCGAGCAUCAGUUCAAGAUAGCAUCUAGUUACUUCGGCCCACACAUGGACUGAAUUUCAAGUCUCCAGCCAAAAGACUCUAUUGACUGAAGACUUGGGGGACUACUGUUUAUACCAUAUUUAGGGCCUCAUAUUUAGACCUCGUAUAAAUAUUCAGGGGACUUAAAUGUAAUUAUGUAAUAAAGGAAGGGGCAAAUAUGUAAUUAGGGGAGGAGCCCUUAUUCAAUAAAAGGGCCUCCUCACCCUCACAAACCCUAAGUCUCUCCUAUCUAGAGCAAAGCUCUCACAUUCUCUCCCUCACAAAUACUCUCACAUAAAUACAAUCAGUGUGGACGUAGCCCAAACCUUGGGGUGAACCACGAUACAUCUUAUGUCAUUUACAUUUCUUGCAGAUUCACGGUCGGAUUUACGUUGUUCCAAGACCUCCGAUUUUGUGCAUCAACAUUACUAAUAUUGUAUAACAAACUGGUAACACUAUGAGCAGUUUGACCUUACACUUUGAGAUUUGUGGACUUAAAAUGUUUGCUUGACCUUACACAUAAUAAGCUUUAAAACAUGUAACUUUCAGUUAAGCAGCACAUUCUAAAUUUGUCCAAAACAUGAUGGUGAAUUUGGUGUUCAGACAGUGUUCUAUUUAUUAUUCACACUAACAGACUACGUACUGGUUGAUUCAUUUAUGUUUUUAAGAUUUGCUUAAUUUACUUCUGAUUAUUUGUAUACAUAUUCAUUUGCAGAGAUCUUAGCUUCAACAGACUGGAAGGGAGUAUUCCAAAUUUUGCAGAUAUUAAGGAAUUGGCCACAAUGUAAGGAAUAUAACUCAUAAGGGUAGCUAACACACAUGAUGAUGCAUGGAGGCAUUUCCGGCCAAACCACGGCAAAUUAGCCAUCAAAAAAGAUACCACUCUCUUCAUCUCGUUGAGAAGUAUGAUUUUCAUUUUUGAAUCACUUGAUUUCGUUGAGUAAUGAAAAAGUUAUGAAUGUUUAAAGUUUACCUAGUUUCCGGCUAGUUUCCAUUUUUCCCGUGGACCAGUCACCUUUCAGGCUAUUUUCUGGCCAUCUCCGGCAUCCAUUAGGCUUCCAAAUAUGUAUAAUCUUGUUCUACACUUUCCUAUGUUCAUUUUGAUAUAUUAUGGGUAAAAUUUGAUUAAGAAACGAUUGAGUUACGAAGCUUUGAAAAUUGCCCAAACUUCAGGCCAAGAGCUCUGGGACACUUAACAAAGUUUUUAACGGAAUGACCAAAAUAAUGGAUGGUAGACAAUGUCAGGGACCAUUCUAUUGAUUUCUAAUCUCAGGGACCAAAGUGAUGUGUUAUGCAAAUCUCAUGGACCAUUUUGACUAUAAAGCCUUUUUUUUCUAACUUGAAAGUGAAGAUUUAAUGUUAAAGUUUUUUUUGUAUCACAUGGUAUGUGAGAAAUGAAAUACUAAAAUUAGGGAAUCUUAAUUAAACACUUUGGUACUGUUCACUUUUAACGAAAAAAUAUUUUUAUCUUAAAAAGUCACUCUUGGUACUAUUUAUUUAUACAUUUAUUUUGUCAUUUUCGUUAAAACUAAAAAUUUUUGAAGAUUUUUCGUUAGUUUUCCUUUAUAAUUAGUGGUUGUUUUGGGGAAUGGUGGUUGAUGUAAUGAUACAUGGAAGUUGUCUUAUUGGUCAAUACAAUAACCAUUCUGGAUUCCUCGUGAAGGUUUUUUAUCACAUGGUCAUGUGAAAUUAGUGGAGGAGGGGGACUGAUGUGAUCAUACAUUCAUAAGUGGGGGAGGGGGAGUGAUGUGAUCAUAUAUUCAUGAUUUAACGUGAAUUCAGUUUUUUUUUUUUUUUUUUUUUUUUUUUUUUGUAUAUAUUUCGAAUACAUAAAAUAAAGUACAAAAGUCAAUUUUUUUUUUUUUUAAACUCCCAGUUAAGAACAUAAUAGGACGUCUCUAUUGUUUUAUAGAGACAAUAGGGAGACGGUAAGGAUUAGAUCAAAAUCAAAUGUGAAAGGUGGUGUGGUAAAGAAGGAAAGAGAAAAGGAGGGGGCGCGGCAGGGGUUGGAUGUAAUACUAUAACUAUUCUGGAUUCCUGGCUACUGCUUGCAGUUUCGUACUUUCAUGUGAAGGUUUAAUGUUAAAAUCAGUGGGGGGCGAUGUCAUCAUAUCUGGAAGUUGUGCUUCUCAGUCAAUAGGCGCACAACAAUUCUGAAUUCCUGCUAUUGGGUUGCAGUCUGGCAUGCAUGCACGCAUGUGAAAGAAAAACAUCAAGGUAGCCUUUUUCCUUUUAAACAUGCAGCAUGCUUCUGACCCAAUAAAUAAAUAAAUAAAUAAACCCCACUACCCAGUGGUAUAAAACAGACCAUACUACAAACACUUGCACACACCUUCUACCCAGUAGUGUAAAGCAGCCCCCACCCCCUACACCAAUCAACCCCUCCUCACCGCCACCGUCACCGCCACCGCAACUCUCAUUUCUCAUUCUUUCCUUCUGCUCCCAGCUGCCUCUUUUGACCACUACUAUGGCGGACGCUGAAAAUCAAAACCCUCCUUCAAAUCCGCAAGCACAUCUAACCGAGACUCUGACCAUCCUCUUGACCUUAGCUACCAUUCUGAUUGUCGUCGCUGUGAGCCAGUUUGACUUUGUCAAACCUCCCUCCGCCGAUGCGGUUGGUUGCGACUGCAAAUUGAAUGACUGUCCAUGCCUUCCUCCCUUCUACAUUUACUCUGUCAUUUCCACAACAGCGCUGUCUGUUGUUUGGUUUGGACUUUUUGUCCUCACCGCCCAAUUCAAUACCGCUUCGUUAUUUGGGUAGGGCUUGGCUUAGUGUGGGCUAUCUAUUAGCUCGCGAUGAUUUGCAGCCUUGCACCCCAGUUUUAUAAACCUAUGCUUUAUUCCUUUAAUCCUGUUCUGGCAGUCCUACUGUUGCUUAACAUAAGAUUUCGAAGUGUCUCGAACCAUGCAAUGCAUGUCAUAUCUAACAAGCGAGACCGCGUGAUCCAUGUCAUAGCUAACAUCUGCAUUCUGUUUUGGAACUAUGUCACAGGAAACUUCUAAUAUUUGGGUAUUUAAAUUCUGUUCAUACUUUUUUACUUUUUUCUUUAUAAUUUUUUUUUUCGAAAUUACCGUUUCUUGAUUUAUGUGUGUGGGACAUGUUAACCUUUUUAUGAAAAAUUAUUCUAAGACCAUCUUCAAUUUUUAGGUCAAAAUUUAAAAUUUUUAAUCUAGAAAAUUUAAAUUUUGACCCAUAAACAGUUUUUUUGCUCUAAUGAUAUUGAGUAAAAAUUUUAAGCCGAUAUUAUUAAAGAAUUAAUUUAUGCUACUUUUUAUUCAAUAACUUUUUUUUCAAAAUAAAAUUUAUGUAGAUUAUCUUAAUUUAUUUUAUAAACAUUUUAACCUAAAAAUAUUUAAAUUUUGAUAAAAAAAUUCACUAAACGGACCCUAUGAAACAUGUAUUAUACAGUUUUUGGGUGAAUUUUGAUUAAAAUAUUUUUUAAUUUUUUAACCGUUAGAUUUAAUUGUGGGCUUUUAGAUUUUUUUUAACCGUUAGACUGAUCAUAUUCUAUCUCAACUAUUGGAUUUAAUGUUUUUAAAAUUAUCCAAAUUUUAAGUUUUAACCUAAACCUUAUUUUAGACCCAAUCAUUAGAAAAUGAUUGGAUUAAUUUAAAACCUAAAAUUUAAGUUCUAACCUAAAAUACGUAUACAUUAUAUAAUAUAUGAGUCGUUGAUGUCGCUCAAAUACAAAAUACACUAAAAAAUUACAAAUGCUUUAAUUGGCAACAAAAAAAAUUAGACAAGCUACAUCUAAAGAAUGUUCGUUAUGUUACUUCUUUCUUUUGUUUUUGUAUGAGUAUCUUACUUAUAUUUUUUUAAUUAUUUCCAAUGUUAUUUUCAGAUUAGAAGAAAGAUGGAGAGAGAGCUAAGUAUCAGUCCAUUCCUCUUCUUUUGAAUGUAAUAGUCGUCUUUUCCUACUAGCUACGUUUUUUAUAUUUGGAUCUCUCCAUGAAAGAUACUUAUUAUAUUUAUUCGGUGUUGUGUAAUUUAGAAUAUUUUGGAUCUCUUCAUGUAAGACUAGUUAUAUAACUCGUUUGGCAGUACUUUGAAAAUAGCUAAAGAAUUUUUGGUGAAAAUGUUUUUUUGAACAAAUUCAUAGUAAAAAUGCAAGUGAAUCUAAGAAAAGUAUUAAAGCGCUUACUUUACGUGCUUUUAGAAUUCAAAAAUAUUUUCACUAAAAGAACUUCUAGUCAUUUAAAUUGUACUUUCAAACAAGCCCAUAUUUAUUUUGUGGUGUGUGAUUUUAAUAUUUUGGAAUAUAUGAGAUGCUAUAUUUAUUCGGUCAAGUGUGUAAUUUUGUUUUUAAUAUUUAUGUAAGUGUAAUGUUUAUUGAAUAUUUGUGUUAUUGUCAUGCCCUAAUCCCGAGAUACGCCUGAAAUCGACACGUGACGGUAAACUAUAGGGGGAUGCUAGGAAAUACAAACUCAAACACUUAAUUGAAAAUAACAAUAAUCACAUCUUUUUAAGGAAAGUAUAGGAGUAACAUAACACUCCAAGCUCUCUGAACUCUGUCUGCUACCCCAAAACUCCUCGUAUCUACUAAAACUUGCACAAUCGCCCAUACACCAUGGGAAUGGUGCAACGGGCAAACAAUAACCUAGAUAAGCCGCAAAACUCGUGUGAGUGACAAUAAUUCUACGUAUGUGAUACUAUUAAAAACCAACCAUCAAUUCAAUUUAUAAAUGUCAAAUAUAAAAUCAUAUUUUAUGAAAUCAUAAUCAAGUCACUGAAAAUCCCGAAGAAGUCACCCAGACAUCCAACGGCUCAUCUGAAAUCAAACACAAGGUUAUCAAUCAAUAACUCGUACAAUACACCAAAAUGCAGGGCUAAAGCAACACAGUUUGGCUGAAGCCUACAUCUCUGAAGCUAUCUCAAUCUAAACUUAAUCUGAAGAAUCAACAAAGCAAUUAAUCGGGUUCCGAACCUCUCCAUGGAACCAUAAUAUUAAACGGGAUUCCAGGCCACUCAACAGAAUCCAAACCAGGAUACGAUUCCGGAACACUCAAUGGAAUCGCAGAAAAGAAGGGAUUCCGAACCUCUUAACGAAAUCGUGGAGUACAAUGUAUAUCGGACCACUCAACGAAAUCCAAGCUGGAUACGAUUCUAGACCACUCAAUGAAAUCUGAUCACGAGGGAUUCCAGACCACUCAAUAGAAUCCAGACGAAGCAGGGAACCGGACCACUUAACGGAACCCCAGUGGAAAACCAGUUCCGAAUCACUCAACUGAACAGAGCGGAAGGCCAACAACCAUAAUAUACAAUAGCUCAAAGAAACGAGACAAGGCACAAGUUACUCAAUUUACAAAGGCUUAACGAAGUGAAACAAAGCACAAGUACUAAAUUUAGAACGAAUCAACGAAGCGAGAAAUGAAACAAUAUCGAAGCAACAAAUCCCCAUCACAAUGAGUUAACAGUCUACUACUAGCCCUCACAUUUCAUCACAACAUGUCAAUCAUACAAAUCAACCAUAUUUCAAAUAUAUACGUCAAAUCUCAUUUCAUAACACAUAAAUCGAUGACUAAGUAUUAAAAAUAACAAUUCAAUAGAAAAUAUAUUUAUAAAACCAAGUCAUAUCCACACAGGAUAACAAUUAUGAAAACAAGGUAAUCACCAAUAUCACAUAUAUUAAAGUCACUCACUUAGAGCCCGCACUACGAAUCCCUAGCUCAAAUAUCGAGGCGUUUACAUCCGAUCGUCGCCUAAAACAAAUAUCAAAUCUCGUCUUAGAACCCAAGUGAUAAACCACGUAACUUACAUAAAGUACAUCCCCAAGGACAUUCUAGAAUGAUUUGGGACCAGUUGACCAAAAGUCAACAGUUGGUCAAAGGUUAAUAGUCGGGUCUACAACCCUAGCAAUUCAAUUCGAGAUAUCCGCAUAUCUGAUUUCAGAUUCGUAACCUUCUAAGGUCCACAUUACGUUCAUAGAACAACAAACUAAAAUCUCAUAGCGAUCCAACGGUCGAAUCUCCGCCAAUCACAAAUUCAAGUGGCAGUCAUUUAGCCGAUCAACUAUGAAACUACAUUCAAACAUUAAAAUUUCCCUAAACAGAUGUCAAAAAUGGAUUCAGAACGUUGAAAAACCUUGAGAUAGGUCCUGGCCAAAACCCGAAAAAAAAUGAACAAAAGUCAAUGGUCAAUGCAAGGAAUAUCCUUCUUCUUCAACCUCUCCUCCAGUCACCAGAUUCUGCAGAUUUUCUGGCAAUAUUUAGAACUCCAUAUCUCACUCGUUUCUCAACCAAAUUAGUCUAAUAAUAUACCAAAACGAAGCUAGAGAAUUGUAGAACAAUAUUAUAUAUGCUUGAAGCCUGUCCGCGGGAAAUCUGGUAACUCGCCGGAAUUUCUGGGCAAACUUUAAACGUCCAUAACUUUAUCAAUACUCAACAAAAUCGAGUGAUUCAAAAAAGAAAAUCAUAGCUUGGAACGAGGUGAAUAGAUUGGUACCUUUACUGACGGCUAACUCGACGUGGUUUGGUCGAAAAAUGAUAUGGAAGCUUAUGGUUUCGCCGGAAACUGGGCAAACUUUAAAUCGUUAUAACUUUCUCAUUUUUCAACCAAAUCACACUAUCCAAACAUGAAAAUUUAUCUAAUCGACGAGAGGAAUCGAUUUAUACCUGUUUUGAAUUCAAAAGAUGGCUGAAAAAUUAUAUGAAUCACGCUUAUAAGUCUCGACUCUCGGCCCAAAACCUUGUUCUUCGAACUCGUGUUUCGGGUUCAUUUUCAAUGAAACAAAAAUCACAACGGAGUUUAUGGUGGUGAGGGCAAGUAGAUAAAUGUGGUUUUGGUGUUCAACAAGCCAAAAUUUUUGUGGUGGUGGUUUGUUUCACGGGAAGAAAGGGAGAGCCAAGACAGAGUGGGAGAACUCUCGAGAGAAAGAGAGAACGAAAGAGAAAAGGGAGGAGAUAAGAGGGUUUCAUAAAUUUUUGGGUGCCCACGUGGCACUCAGCCAAUGGUUAGACAAAAAUAUCACAUGUCCAAUUAAUUAUCAAUUUAUCAAAAUAUCUUCGACGUUCAAAAUCUCAUAAAAUCUUCGUUAUAAUUCCGAAUCACUUUCCAUUUGCACCCACGCAUUCAUAUCGAUGAGUACUAUCCAAUUAUGUAAAGAUAAGUGGACAAAUACGUAGGGAUCAAAUACGCCGUAAAUAUAAAAGAGUCGAAACUAUGAAUACGAAAUAUGUAAUACAUAAUUUUAAAUAAUGAAAUCUGAGAACGGGAUUUCACAGUUACUGUCGAAAUACAGAAUACAUAAUUUUAAAUUAUGAAAUAUAGAAAUAUUGUUGUAUAAAAAAAUCAUCAAAAAUCGUAACUCUAAUCCCCACACUUAAACGUCCUUGUGUCUUAUUAAAGAAUAAUGCUACACUUACUCAUAUUGAUAUUAUCAUUUUAUCCUCCCUCUCAUAAAAAUUUUAAGAGGGUGUCUAAUAACUAUUUCAUUUUCAAUUUUUUGUUUUUAUACUUCAAAUCUUAUUUGGUAAUUGCUUUCAAUUUUUCAGUUUUUAAAUGAAAAUUGAAAAUAUUUACCAAAUCAGAUUUCAAUUUUUUUUUAAAUGAACUUAAAACUAAAAAUGAAAUGGUUAUCAGACGACUAAUAAGAAUAUUCUUGCCCUUGCCAACUCAAUAAACUUUUUAAACUUUCAAAAUAUUCAAACAAUGGUGGACUGCUUUAGCUCACAAAACUCAACUCCAAUGGGAGCCCAAAGUUUCUCCUUUUCCUUAAAGGGUUGUUUGAUAAUUAUUUCAUUUAGUUUAUGAACACCUGAAAAUUUUGAAAUUUUAUUUGGUAACUACUUUUAGUUUUCAUUUUUAAUAAAAAUAAAACUGAAACAAAAAAAGUUGAAGAAAGAAAUGAAAAACGCAUAUGGGUCACCAUAAAAUUCGUCGAUGUUGUCCUUGUGGUUGGUGGGGAGACUUUCUCAUCAACCAAAUUACAGAGAGACUUACAAGUACGAUUAUCUCUGCAAGAGCUGAGGUGACUUACUCGCUCACUUUGAGAAGAGCUUCAUACUGAGCAGGUUCCAAUUCAUCCUUGUGGCUAUCGGUGAAGGAGAGGAAAUGAGAGGUUGGGGAAAGUGAGAAAGGUCAGAGAAAGAGAGAGAAAGAGAGAACAGGAAAUGCAUUUACCGAGGGAAAUAAAAUGUCCAUAAAUGAAUUAAUUAUUUUAUUAAUAAGAAUAUUAAAUAAAAUAAUGAUUAAAAAGCUAAACUAGCAAAAUUGAAAAAACUAAACAUUAAAUAAAUUUCAAAAAUGUUAGAAUAACAUUUGUUUGUACCAUACUUGACCAAUCCCGAAACUACCGAGCACCGGCCAACGCUAUACUGUCAAGGACCCAGAAGAGUUCCCCUCCGACCAGGAGGCCAAUCACUACUCGACACGUGUCAAGAUUAGAAGCCAAUCAGAGCGCAGCACGUGUCGACAUCAAGAACCAAUCAUAACAUGACACAUGUCAAUGUGACAAAGCUACAAGUUUUUCUAUAAAUAGGGGUCAUUCCCCCACAAUAUUGCCUAAUGCCAUUUGUGUUAAAUCAUUCACAAGAACUCACUAAAUUGAGAGCUUGAUCCUUUGUACUUGUGUAAGCCCUUCACUACUAAUAAGAACUCCUCUACUCCGUGGACGUAGCCAAUCUGGGUGAACCACGUACAUCCUGUGUUUGCUUCUUUGUCUCUAUUCAUUUACGUACUUAUCCUCACUAGUGACCGAAGCAACCAAGCGAAGGUCAUAAAACCUGACACUUUCUGUUGUACCAAAGUCUUCGCUGAUUUUGUGCAUCAACAUUUGGCGCCGUCUGUGGGAAACGACACUUAUUCCUACUCUCUUCAGCUGUGUCAAGCUGGUUUCUAUCAUUCGUACACUUUCUUUUGACCAGGCAUCCCUCUCCAACAUGGGAAGCGAAGGAAGCCACAGCACACAGAAUGACACCCCCCUUGCACAUAGUGCGAAACAACGAAAGAAGGAAGGAAAACGAGUUCUUCUUCAAGCUAAAGUCGAUGAGUUGGAAGCUCAGAACAACAAGAUAGCAAUGAGGAAUGAGGUCCUCCAGGAGCAAUAUGAGAAGCUCUUCGAGACACUCCACGAAGCUAGGCAAGCUCAGACACGCGAGCUUGUUGCCCCCGUGGAAGUCAACCAUCAACUGGGUGCCCUCCAACAUGGAGGGUCACAUGCAUUCGACAUAGAUAUCCCUGAUAGGGAACAGAUUACCCCUCGACUUGAUAAUCAACAUGAGGCUUCUCUUAACCCAGUUGCUUCGACCCGAACCAUGAGAAGUGGAGGGAGACACCUCUUUGCUGAAGGGGCAGAAGGAUCGAAAGCCGUCUUUCGCGAUUGUCGGGAUUUCCUGAAGCAACGUCGAGAGAAUUCCAUCCAUAUAAGCUCAAAGAUUAAUGACCCAAGGAUUUCUGAGAGACUCGGUCCCCUGCCACGGCCCAAGCCGGCCACCAAUUUGGGGAAUGGGCAACAAGUCCUAGAGAGACAUGAGGGUACAGGGGACUCAGAGGUGUUCCGACAGACAUACCCUGGAAGCCAGUACAGCGAGUCCAGGGAAAAAUCACAUGCCCUUGAUCAAACCUUCCUAAUUCCAAGAGGAGAUGGAGAUUUACGAAAGAAAGCUCCAGUGACACAUAACUCCACUCAGGACCCCCUUGUCCUACAACUUCUUGAGGAAGUAAACAAGUUGAAGGCUGAACGUCAGGCUGAAAUACCUGACUGGAACCAACCCAGGCCUGGCCCUCUUACAAGGAGGAUCCUCAACACCCCCCUUCAAGCAAAGACAAAGCAGAAGCUUGGCUUGCAACUUUAUACCGGGAAAGAGGACCCGAUUGAGCACCUUAACCUCUUUGAGUCCACCAUGGCAUACCGGAUGCACACCGACGAAGAGCGAUGUCUUCUCUUCCCCUCCACCCUCUCUGGCGAAGCUCUAAAUUGGUAUUGUCGUCUUACACCUGAGACGGUAGACUCAUUUGAGGAAUUGAGGAAACUAUUUGUUUCCCAACACAUUUUUCCAAACCGAUCGCUUGCACUCUGCAGAUGACCUGUACACUAUCCGCCAGAAGCCAGACGAGUCAUUACGUAUGUAUGCUGGCCGCUUCAGCCAUGAAUACUCCCGGUGUGCCGAGGCAGACGACAAGACUGCCCUCAAAGCCUUCACGGCAGGCCUACGUGAUUGUUUCUUUAAAUACAUGAUCAAUGCCAAUACUUGGAAGACUUACUCUGAGGUGAUGGCGCAGGCUUAUAACCAUGCCUCCGCCGAGGCAAAGACAUAUCAGGAGAAACCCCCUACAACCAUCCUUUAUCAACAAGUGGGAGGUGGAAGCCAGACUCACCUAAAUGAGAAGACCUCGACUUUCCAAACAGCAGUGGCACCUCCCCAUGCCUUGCAUAAUGCUUCACCGAAUCAACAGACAUAUCAAUUUCAAGGCAAGAGGAAGGAUUUCCAUCCUCACCACUCUCAUUCCAGUAAAAAGAGUAAGGGACACUAUCCCGAUAACCAAGGGUAUCGCCACAAUAACGCUCGCCCCCAGGCAGUCAAUGCAGUGGGUCAAACCCGCGUCAAGAUACCCCCUACCCCAAGGUAUGAGACAUACACGCCCUUGAAUGCCACAUGCGCGGCCAUUUACCCCAGCAUAGCUCACCUGAUACCAAAGCCAAAGCCGAGGCACCCAGAUUACACGCCUCCGAAUAACGCGGGCAUGUUUUGUUGCUACCAUGAGCAUAACGGCCAUGAUAGCGAGAAAUGUAUCAUCCUCCGUGAUCGUAUUGAAGCUUUGGCAUGAGAAGGAAAAAUUGAUCAAUUCCUCCUUCACCCUCAAAGGGAUAACCGUAACCAACGCCAGGUGAAUGUCAUAUAUUCCAUAAGCGGCGGCACACCCAUAUCUGAAUCUUCCAAUAGGGCCAUGAAAAACAGUGAACGAAUUCUGAGGCCUAGUCACCAAGUGUUUCACGUGGAAGACAUCAGGGGAGGGAAGUAUCAAAAGCCUAACUGGGAUCCGAUAUGUUUCUACCCUAAGGAAGAAAGAGGCAUCAUCUACCCUCAUAACGACCCAUUGAUCGUGGAGGCUCACAUAGCCAACUUUGAUGUUCGACGAAUCCUCGUAGACACAGGGGCUUCGGUCAAUAUCAUGUUUGCCGAAGCUUUCAGGGCACUCAGUGUAGCUGAACACUUGCUCGAUCGCUCGAUUUCUCCUCUGAUAAGCUUCUCCGGUGAUAUCGUGCAACCCUUAGGGAGCAUACAUUUACCCUUUACUAUUGGUACAGGCCCUUACACGGCUACCAUUACCACUAACUUCCUAGUGGAUGACUGCCCAACGGCAUACAAUGUCAUCUUUGGGCGCACAGGCAUCAAUGAUCUCAAGGCUAUGGUAUCCACGCAUAUGCUGUUGAUGAAAUUUCCAACCCCCCAUGGCAACGGCUACAUCAGAGGAGAUCAGCUUACUGCACGAUCAUGUUACAACACUUCAGUUAAGCAACAACACUUGCCCGGACCCAAGGAAACCCUGUCUGUACAUGACCAAGUCACAAAGACCAGCCUAGAUGAAGCGAACUUGGAUCUUCCUGAUAGCAACAAUCAACCCGAUGAUCCUCGAGAUGACUCUUUCACCCAGCAAGCCCAACCUGCUGAAGAGUUGGAGAAGGUACAUAUCUCAAGAGAUUAUCCAGAUCGCAUGGUGAAGAUUGGCACCACAUUGUCACCACCCCUUCGGUUAGCAUUGAUAUCUUUUUUGAAAGAGAACACUGAAGUCUUCGCCUGGUCAUACGAGGACAUGCCAGGCAUCUCUCCCGAUGUCAUCUGUCAUCGUUUGAGUAUUGACCCCAAGAUCAAGCCGGUGAGACAGAAGCGAAGAUCUUAUGACGCUGAACGAUACGAGGCAAUGAAAGCAGAAGUUGAAAAAACUCAAAGGCAUAGGCUUUGUCCGCGAAGUCAAUUACCCGACAUGGGUAGCAAAUGUGGUCCUUGUUAGGAAAAAUCCGACCAAAGAAAGUCUUUCGCUUCAAAAGGUCUUGUGGAGGAUGUGUGUUGACUACACCGACCUAAACAAAGGGUGUCCGAAAGAUAGUUUCCCUCUUCCUCUUAUUGACAGGCUUAUAGACUCUACGGCAGGGUGUGAGCUCUUGAGCUUUAUGGACGCUUAUUCAGGAUACAACCAAAUCCUCAUGAACCCCUCAGACCAAGAACACACGGCCUUCACUACUGACAGGGGACUAUAUUGCUAUAAAGUCAUGCCUUUCGGCCUAAAGAAUGCAGGAGCAACUUAUCAGAGACUGGUCAAUUCAAUGUUCGCCGAACAAAUUGGGAAGAACAUGGAAGUUUACGUUGAUGAUAUGCUAGUCAAAAGCAAACAUGCUGACCAACACAUCACCAACCUAUCUGAAACUUUCACCAUUCUAAAGAGGUAUCGAAUGAGGUUGAACCCCAACAAAUGUGCCUUCGGCGUGGGCUCUGGCAAAUUCUUAGGCUUCAUGAUUAGCCAACGAGGCAUUGAAGCUAACCCUGAAAAGAUCAAAGCAAUCCUCGACAUGAAAGAGCCAAUAACUUCAAAAGACAUCCAAAGCCUUACAGGCAAGGUGGCAGCCUUAACCAGAUUCAUCUUUAAGGCCACAGACAGAUGUGCUCCUUUCUUCAAAGCACUCAAGGGAAAUAAGAAGUACAUUACAUGGACGGAGGAAUGUACCAAGGCAUUCAGGGACCUCAAAGAGUACAUGAGUAAAGCCCCUCUGCUCUCCAAACCAGAAGUUGGUGACACUCUCAUCAUCUAUCUAUCGGUUUCGGCUUCAGCAGUCAGUUCUGUUCUUAUUCGAAUGGACAGUGGUGUCGAACGGCCCGUCUACUACGCUAGCAAGGCCCUACAAGAUGCGGAGACACGAUACUCCAACAUUGAGAAAUUAGCUCUAGCAUUGGUCAUGUCUGCUCGGAAACUUCGCCCUUAUUUCCAAGCACACGCCAUCAUCGUGCUUACCAAUCACCCUCUUCGACAGAUACUCCAGAGUCCUGACACGUCUGGAUGAAUGAUCAAAUGGGCGAUAGCAUUGGGUGAGUUUGACAUCUCCUACCAACCAAAACCAGCCGAAAAAGGCCAAGCAGUAGCAGAUUUCAUCACCGACUUCACAUAUCCUGUUGACAUUGCUUCUACACCUGAAGCAGUAGCUUCAUUACCAUCGGAAGCUCAGAAAGUAGAAUCAACGACCUCAGCAUGGAGUCUGUAUGUUGAUGGCUCAUCCAACCAACAGGGCUGUGGAGCGGGACUAGUCUUGACUACGCCCGACAAAGUAGCAAUGGAGUAUGCUCUUCAUUUCAAAUUCAAGGCAUCAAACAAUGAGGCUGAGUAUGAAGCCCUUCUAGCAGGAUUACGUUUGGCCAAACACCUCGGGGUUAAACAAAUUGAUAUUUUCAGUGACUCCCAAUUAGUGGUCAACCAGGUUACCAACAACUUUGAUGCUAAGGACAGCUCUAUGGCAGCAUAUCUUGCGCAAACACAACUUUUGCUCAAGCACUUCCACUACCAGAUCACCCAAAUUCCUCGAGCGGCAAACAGUCAUGCAGACGCCCUGGCUCGCCUCGCCUCAGCUGUGGAAGACAAGAUUGGAAGAAAAAUUCAUGUCGAACUGUUGGCAACACCAAGCACCAUGGCCGCAGAAGUAUGCAACUUACAACAGGGGGAUAGUUGGAUCACCCCGAUCUAUAAUUUCCUUGCUCAUGGCACCCUCCCAAAUGAUAAAGUCCAGGCUAAGCAAAUUCGAUACAAGUCUACCCGCUACCUGAUCAUCAAUGAUCAACUCUAUAAGCGAGGUUUUAGCCUGCCAUACUUAAGGUGUCUUACUCCUGCCGAGGCGGAAAUCGUCCUUCGGGAAAUACAUGAAGGAGUCUGUGGAGAUCAUGCUGGAUCUCGGUCCCUAGCACACAAGACUUUUCGCCAAGGAUAUUACUGGCCAACACUCCACCAGGAUGCCAUCAAAGUAUCCCGCUCAUGUGAUAAAUGUCAACGAUAUGCAACUAUUCCUCAUUCCCCUCCAGAGGCUCUUACUCCUAUGAUCAGCCCUUGGCCCUUCGCCCAGUGGGGACUUGAUUUGAUCGGCCCAAUGCCGGCAGGGAAGGGCAAAGUCUGUUACGCAGUCGUUGCAGUGGACUACUUCACAAAGUGGGCCGAAGUAGAACCCUUGGCAACCAUUACUGAGGCAAAGAUAGAAGACUUCGUGUGGAAGAACAUCCUUUGUAGAUUCGGCAUUCCCAAUGCGAUAGUCACUGACAAUGGGCGACAGUUUGACAACAAGAAGUUCAGGUUGUUCUGCUCUAAGUUCAACAUCAACUUAUGCUUUGCCUCUCCAGCUCAUCCCCAGUCUAAUGGACAAGUUGAGGCCAUCAACAAAAUAAUCAAGCGCACUUUGAAAACCAGCUUGGACAAAGCUAAAGGCUGUUGGCCAGAAUUUGUACCCCAAGUUCUUUGGUCAUAUCGCACUUCAUAUCGGACUUCAACAGGAAAAACUCCAUUCUCACUUGCCUUUGGCACAGAGGCGGUUGUCCCUGUUGAGCUCGAGCAAGCAACAUUCCGAGUCCAGAACUACAUUCAAAGUGAAAAUGACAAAACAACUCACCCUCAACUUGGAUUUAGUCGAGGAACACAGAAAACCAAGCUCACUUGAGGAAUGUCGCCUACAAGCAGCGCAUCUCCAACUAUUAUGACUCUAGGGUCAAGCCUCGUUCUUUCAAAAUAGGAGACUGGGUCUUAAAGAAAAGAUUACUCUGCGACAGAGUCCCGAGUGAAGGCAUACUUAGUCCAAACUGGGAUGGACCGUAUGAAGUCAUUGGCAUCAGUCGCCCUGGCUCUUACACACUUAGAAGCUCCGAUGGCAAGACCCUUGGCCAUCCAUGGAACGCUGAUCACUUGAAGUACUACUACAAAUAGACUCACGAUGUACAAGUGUUGAGCUAUAGCCGUUUGGCAUCCUAUGUAAUGAAGGCCAUUUGGCAAUGAAUUCAAUAAAGAGGUAAUUUAGCCAACUCAGCCCUCACUCUUUUACAUUCAUAGCAAGCGAUGCCGGAACCCUUCUCAAUCAGAAAGCCAUCCGUCUUCCACAGUCACUACAAAACAAGCAAAUGAAGACCGUGUCAAGCGCCCAAAAAAAAAAAAAAAAAAAAAAAAAAAAAAAAAAAAACAGCUUCAUCCAAAAAGCUUCACCCGAAAAGCUUCACCUCCAAAGCUUCACCCACAAAGCUUCACCUAAAAAGCUUCACCUCCAAAGCUUCACCCACAAAGCUUCACCUAAAAAGCUUCACCCAAAAAGCUUCACCCGAAAAGCUUCACCUCCAAAACUUCACCCGCAAAGCUUCACCUAAAAAGCUUCACCCAAAAAGCUUCACCCGAAAAGCUUCACUUAAAAAAGCUUCACCUACAAAGCUUCACCUAAAAAAUCUUCACCUAGAAAGCUCCCUCUACAUACUUUCAUCUACAAAGCUUCACCAUCAAAGCUUCACCUCGAAAGCUUCAUCUACAAAGCUUCACCAUCAAAGCUUCACCAUCAAAGCUUCACCUAGAAAGCUUCAUCUACAAAGCUUCAUCUACAAAACUUCACCAUCAAAGCUUCACCCAGAAAGCUUCAUCUACAAAGCUUCACCAUCAAAGCUUCACCUCGAAAGCUUUAUCUACAAAGCUUCAACACCAAAGCUUCACCUACAAAGCUUCAACACAAAACCUUGCUCCAAAUAAACAAAUUUUGUUCACAAAACCCAAGAUGCCCUUGAACUUGUACAAAAACACUUGGGUAAACAUAAACAUUUUUUGUUUUACACCCACAAGGGCCCAAAAUUUUCCUUCUUAUUUAUUCACUUAUAUAUGUUCCCAAACAUAUUAUAAUAGAUCCAACAACAAGCCAAAGUCCCAAGUUUCAUAAUGGACAAAAGUACAAGCAAUUCAUCAAUAAUGAAGGUGCUACAAAAAUUGGAAUCUGCCCCAAAAUAGAAAUCCAACCCAAGAGACUUUUUCUCUCUCUCCCUCUUUCGCCUCCUUUCAUCUAUCAAAUUUCUGCAACCUCUGCUCUUCUCCAAUGGAGCUGAAUUUUGGACACCCUAUAGUUCUUGAGCAUAUGAACAACUUUCAAGAAGGAACCAUUUCUGUUUGAGCGACGGAAAUUAAAGUGUUGAAGCUCCAAACGUGACAGUCGGAUUCUUGCAGAUUUCGAAGCUGCUGUGAUGUUUCGAAGAUCUGGAAAUAUUUAACCAUUAGUUCAUUCUGAAUGUUUGAUAUGUUAUGAAAGAGACGAUGAGGAACAACUUCAAUGAAGAAAGCAUGCCGAUCUGAACAAUAGAAAAUGGAGUUUCAAAGCUCACAACAAAUCUGACGGGUUGACAGAAAAAUAAUAACCAGUCAUUCAUCAUACCUGGAUUUCUGAAGUUGUACUACUCCGAUGGAUCUCAAAUUUGGAUAUGUUGUAGUUCACAAGAUAAGGAAAAACUUUCAUGAAGACGACUUUGCAAUCUGAGCUAUAGAGAAAGGUGUUAUCUUGCAUCCACUCAGGCUAAUUAGUGGAAACGAAAAGCAAUUCCACCAAAGAAAAGAUGAAAAAGAGAGAAAAGCCACUAAUUGCACUUGAUCUUGUCUAGUCAAUAGCAUGCAGCAUCAAACACACAAAAGUUGGAAAUAUUUUUAGAUAAAGCAUAUACGAAUGUGUGACAUCGAAACAAGAAUUCGUUACUUUGACAAAUUAGUAACACGCGAGACACCUCAUUCGGCAACUCUCUUCGCCUGAAGACUUGGGGGACUCCCACCAUAUGCUACUGCACCUUGAUACUCGGCAGUCUCACAACCACUCAGUGACUUGGAUUUUUUCAAGUCUCCAACCGAGAAGUUUUCCUCACUCGGGAAAUUAAGGGAACACUACCUCAAACUACAUGCUUCACUCACAAAGCUUCAACAAUACAGGUUUCAACAAAAGCAAAAAUUCAAAGAACUUUAUGAAGAAGGCUUUGGUGUAUUUAACACAAUAUGUUGAAAUGAAGCAAAGCUUAUUUAUUAAUAUAUUUUCGAUAAGCCACAAAUAUGUACAUAUACAUGAGUCAAAAUAAACAAACAAAAGGGAGCCUUCACAAAGGUUGCUUAGGGGAAGUCUCAGCAGUCGGUAGAGCCCCAGAAAGAGAAAGCACCGGAGGGUGGUUAUCCGGAGCCUCAGUACUUGACAAAACCCCAGAAGGAGGAGGCAUUGGAGGUUCAUCAUUUGAAGCUUCAUUACCAGGUACAGCUCCAGAGGACGAAGGCAAUAAAUGCCUUUGGAACAAACCCACAAACCGCUGAUGAUCAAGUAAAACCUUACCAUCAGAUUCCUUCAUCUGGUCAAGCUUCCUCUUCAUGUUUGUAGCAUAGUCAUGGGCGAGCCGGUGCAACUGCUUAUUCUCAUGCUUGAGCCCUCUAAUCUCCUGUUUGAGACUCAUCACUUCAGCAGCCAAUGAUUCAACUUGGCGGGUUCUAGCAAAUAGGCGUUGGGCCAUAUUAGACACAGAACCUGCACACUGAACACUAAGAGCCAAAGAGUCCUUAACAGCCAACUCAUCAGACCGUUUGGAAAGUAGUCUGUUAUCUUUGGGAGUGAGAAGGUUCCUGGCCACCACUGCAGCGGUCAUAUCAUUCUUCAUCACAGAAUCCCCAACGGUAAGAGGACCAGUAGGGGAUAUGAAGGAUGGGCGCCAUAUGUUGUCUGGAGAAGGCGUGGCUGUCUCUUUUCCAAGGUUCAAGUCAAAACGACGGUCAGAGGGUCCAGACAUUUUCAAAUGUGUUGAAGAGGGAAGAGGUCAGACAAAUCAAGAUCUUAGAAGUGCAAGAAAUGAGCUUCUACUGGUAGAGAUUCAAGUGUGCUGUGGAACUUAAUGUCAGCCUCUAUAAAAUCUGCACUCGACGGAGCUUCAGAAAUCGAAGAGGCGUUUGCUUUCUCAAAAGCUGGACUGCUCAGAGACCACGAGGGCCGAUCUCAGAAAUCGAAGAGGCGUUUGCUUUCUCAAAAGCUGGGCUGCUCAGAGACCACGAGGGCCGAUCUCAGAAAUCGAAGAAGCACCUGCUUUUUCAGCCUCGUCAGCACCUGUCACAUGCACACUCAGCUUUGCGGAAAUUACGGGCAAUCUGUCGAAGAUUUCUGGUGAAGUAGAAAGCACGUGAAUCUUACUGUUCAAUCACCGCUCUCCAUAUGCACCAUCAACUCCUCGGGUACCACAUAUAACUUUAUCAAAGAUCUCUGACAAAGUUUAGGCACGAGAAUUUCGAAGUUCCAGCUACCCUACUAUUACCCAUAAGGGUAAAGGAACAGCACCACUGCUUGACAACUGGAAAGUCCCUAUGUGUGUCGACCUCCGUGUUUUGCGGCAAGACAGGUUGGCAAGAACGUCCAACCUUUACUCACAUUCGAGAAAAGACUCCCAACAUAAUUACUUUUCUCAAAAACCGGAGUAGCACCGCUUUCCGAAUCUCGAGAGUCAGAUCCUCGACGGGAUUGCUUGUUCGAAAACCGAAGAGGCACAACUCUCAGAACUUCGAGAGCCAGAUUUCCUUAGAUAAAGCUUGUCUGUAAUCUUCACACGUAACAUCAGCUUUCCAGAUACCACAUACCACUUUUUCAAAGUGCUCUGACAAAAUUAAAACACGUGAAGCUGGCAGCUCCCACUACAUUGCUGUGACCAAGAAGGGUAAAGAAAUAGCAUUACUACUUGUUAUUGGGAAAUCCCUAUAUACAUUGACCUCCCUCCUCAACGGACAGGCAAACCUGCAAAAAAUGCUCAACCCUUUCUCUCAUUCGAAAAGGCACCCUCAACAUAAACCUCUCGAAAUACUCAGCUUUAUUUCCCCCCGAUAAUACCUCAGCAAAUAAGCCACACCAAGAACAAGAGUAUCUCAUAUCAUCAGGGUCGAAAGCAAGAGUAUCCCAUAUCAUGCUUUCUCCCUAUCUUUGUCUUUGUCCUUGUCCACACCUGCAGGACAAGGAGAAAGAGAGCAGUCAGUCGGAACCUGAAAUCAAACCUCCAAUUUGGAACUGACUGCCUGGAGCCUUUGCUUGGUUGCUUACUUAGCAUUGCUCUCGAGUACUCAUCCUCAACUGCUGUCAAGGUCACGAAUUUCCACCGGCAAAUACCUCAUGACAGUUGAUCAGAUAUUGGCUCUUUACACUGAAGCUGCCAAGCGUGGAUGAGUCACUAUGAAGGAAUGUUCUGAAGGACCAUUUAAAUGCAAAGGUUGCACACCACUUCUGCCAUGCAAAAGAUUGAAGCAGAAGGUUCAACGGUGAGCUGAAACAGAUCACUACAGCACGACACCUUUCCAUACCACAUUCAUUAUUCCGUCAACAGCAAAAGUAUCCCAUAUCAUCAAGGUCGAAUGUACUCUAGAUUUGAUGGACUUGUUUUUGACCCUCAAAUUUUUGAGUCGGCCUUAUACUCUGAAGGGCACCAGAAACCCUCCAGCACAGUUCAAGAAUAAGCCUGUGGAAAGUUACUUCUUCAAAAGCAAAAGUAUCUCAUAUCAUCUCUUAUCCAUUUGUUUCUCCUUAUCCUGGCAGUUGAAUGAGAGACAAGGAGAAGGAGAACAAUCAACCGGAAGCCGAAGUCAAACCUCUGAUCCUGGGUUGCUUACUUGGAAGUUUGACUGCUUACCUUGUCUGUCACCUCUUUCGGCAGAUCUCCUAGCUCGGCGACUUGGGGGACUCCUACUAUAGGGUUUGUAUCACACUUGACUAAGCCCGAAACUACAACUAAGUUUUAAGUGAAAUUGAUACAUUACCUUGUGCGUCAACAUCAGCUAAGUACACCAUUCCCGGAUGGAGGAAAGGUACUUCCAGAGAAGGGCAGAUGAAGAUCAGACCACACUUCGGUACUUAGAAGUUUCGUGAUUACUCAAGGGAUUGGAUCUUGCAAGUCCCCAACCGAGGAGUUUCCCUCACUCGGGAACUUAGGGGAGCACUGUUUGUACCAUACUUGACCAAUCCCGAAACUACCGAGCACCGGCCAACGCUAUACUGUCAAGGACCCAGAAGAGUUCCCCUCCGACCAGGAGGCCAAUCACUACUCGACACGUGUCAAGAUUAGAAGCCAAUCAGAGCGCAGCACGUGUCGACAUCAAGAACCAAUCAUAACAUGACACAUGUCAAUGUGACAAAGCUACAAGUUUUUCUAUAAAUAGGGGUCAUUCCCCCACAAUAUUGCCUAAUGCCAUUUGUGUUAAAUCAUUCACAAGAACUCACUAAAUUGAGAGCUUGAUCCUUUGUACUUGUGUAAGCCCUUCACUACUAAUAAGAACUCCUCUACUCCGUGGACGUAGCCAAUCUGGGUGAACCACGUACAUCCUGUGUUUGCUUCUUUGUCUCUAUUCAUUUACGUACUUAUCCUCACUAGUGACCGAAGCAACCAAGCGAAGGUCAUAAAACCUGACACUUUCUGUUGUACCAAAGUCUUCGCUGAUUUUGUGCAUCAACAACAUUAAAUGAAUUUUAAAUGUAUAAUUAUAAACAUUUUUAUAUACAAAUCAAUUUACAUUCUUUAACAAAUUUAGAAUGAAUCAAAUAUCGUACUAUCUAUGUCUCCUCUAUUGCGAAUGAUACUAUAAGUUACUAGCGAAUCCUGUAACCGAACCAAACUGCGAACUUGAACUAACUAUGGACCAACCAAAUCAUUUCUAAUCAAAUAAAAAUAAAUGAUUUUUGUGUUUGAACAAUGGCUUACAUAAUAUACAUCGUAUACAUUUUCUCGGUAACCAAACACAAUUGAGGAAAGGAAAAUUACGAACCUGAACAAUGGUGUCACAUCCCAGUCUUCACUCCGUCGUAGCACGAUAUUGUCCGUUUUGGGCCCUGGCCACACCCUCACAAUUUUGUUUCUGAGAACUCAGAUGAGAACUUCCCAGUGGGUCACCCAUCCUAGGAUUACCCUUGCCUGAACUUGCUUAACUUCGGAGUUUCGAUGGAACCCGAAGCCAUUGAGUUCCCAAAGGGCCUCGUGCUAUAGGGAGGGGAGCAUGUCCAUAUAAGGCACAUCACCCCCUAUUCGUUGGUCGAUGUGGAAUGUUACAAUCCACCCCUCUUAGGGGCCCGACGUCCUCGUCGGCACACUUGCACCACACGGCAAAGUGGCUCUGAUACCAUUAUGUCACAUCGCAGACCAGCUCCAUCGUAGCACGAUAUUGUCCGCUUUGGGCCCCUUCCACGCCCUCACAGUUUUGUUUCUGGGAACUCAGACGAGAACUUCCUAGUAGAUCACCAUCCUAGGAUUGCCCUUGCCUGAACUCCCUUAACUUUGGAGUUUCGAUAGAACCCAAAGUCAAUGAGUUCCCAAAAGGCCUUGUGCUAUAGGGAGGGGAGCAUGUACAUAUAAGGCACAUCAUCCCCUCUCCGUUGGUCGAUGUGGGAUGUUACAAUGGUUUCUAUUAUGAAACUAAACCAAAAUAACCCAUAAUAUUUCUGAUACUAAACCAAUAUAACCCAAGCUAUUUAUGGAACUACAGCAAAAUAAUCCACAUUAUUUUUUAAACUAUAGCAAAAUAACCCAACUAUUUCUGAAACUGAACCAAAUAAUACACAUUAUUUCUGGAACUACAGCAAAAUAAUCCACACUAUUUCUGAAACUUCAUCAAAAUAACCCACAUUAUUUCUAAAGCUAUAGCCAAAUAACUCACAUUAUUUCUAGAACUGAACCAAAUAACCCAUACUAUUUCUGGAAAGACAACAAAAUAACUCAUACUAUUUCUGAAACGACAGCAAAAUAACCAUACUAUCUAUGAAAGUGAACCAAAAUAACCCAAACUAUUUCUGGAACUACAGCAAAAUAACCCACCAUAUUUCUGAAACUAUAGCUAAAUAACCUCCACUAUUUCUGAAACUUAACCAACAUAACCUACAUUAUUUAUGGAACUACAUCAAAUUAACCCACACUAUUUUUGAAACUGAACCAAAAUAAUCUAUACUAUUUAUGAAAUUAUAGCAAAAUAACACAAAUUAUUUCUGAAACUAAACCAGAAUACUAUAGAUUACCACUAAUUUAAUUACAAUACUAUGGAUGAUAUAGUCAAUCCCAAUGUGUUGCAAACUUAUGGUAGUCUUGAUAAACCUACUAUAAAACGAGUAUACUGAAAAUACCACACGAACAAAUGUUUAUUAGUACUAGAAACACUAAACACAUGAUUAGUUUAAUUAUAUAAUUUCCAGAAAAUAUUAGAAGUGAUCUAAUUUUUUCGAUAAGGAAUAAAAAAGCAUUAAUAUGAUAGCACUAGCAAGACAACAGUUUUCACCUAUCAGAAGAGAAUUAUACAUUCAAAAUAGAAAAUAACAAAAUAACAAAACAAAAAAUAACAAAACAAAAGCAAUCAGUCAACAUCUUAAUGCUGAAAUUAUGUUAAUCGAUAUGGGAUAAAGCUGGAGAGGUGGCUGGGAAAGGAAGCUCAAAUAAUUCCUUGUGAUUUGGAAGGUGCCAAACAAAAGGGCAUCAUGUAGUAGUAAAACACAGUAGUAAAUAUCACAACGUUCAGGGGUAUAUUGGAAUACUAGAAAAAGGUUUGGGGUGUAUCAAAGCUCGGGUUGGAUUGACUCAAAGCUCACAUACAUCUGACAGCGGGCUCAAACCUCGAGGGUUGUUAAUCCUCCAUUUAAUUCAAUAUGGGCUAGGUUUUCUUUCUAUUGGGAUAAUUUUGGGGACUUAUUUUUUGGGGACUUAUUUUUGUCCAUGUUGGGCUCUGUAAUUACAGCCCAUGUAAAAUUGGGAGUCUCUGUUCCUUUGGUUGAUUUUGAGGUGUUUUUGGUUUCAAAAAAAAGUAUAAGGUGGUUCUUGGUUAAAAUAGUUUUAGUUCAAGCCAUUUUCAUUAAAACUCCCUUUAUAGUGUUGAGAGUGUGAAUUGCACAUGGGAAUUAAAGGGACCUUAAAUGUACUUAUAAGGAUGUAAAUUUUCUUUGGAACCUCAACUUAUUUUUUGGUAUGAGAGAUUAAACCUGAGUCUUGAGCUCAACGACACGUGUUUCCACGUCACUUGAUAUGCGUUAUUCACAUGGUAGGCUAAAUGAUGUCACAUGUGAAAAACGUGUUGAAACUUGAGAAUGUGAAUCUCAAGUCAAAAAAUUAAACUGAGGUGGAAAAUUAAACAAGCGAGUGGACAUAAUAACAUUCUUUAUAAAACCCCAACCGUUCAACCCAAAGCCCACGAAUAAAACCAUGAUUCAUAUAAAAUUAAAAGCCCAACCUAAUUUAACCAAAAAGGUCCACAUCGCAACCGCUCAAUCUCAACCGUUCAUCACAGACCUCAUUAAAUCAUGUUGAUCAUUAUUAACUGGAUGGUCCAUUUUACCCUUCUCAGCGUAUGAGAUGAGGUCCGCUUACUGGAGCUCUCCUUCAUUUCCCACCUGAGCAUUCUCGCUUCUUCUCCCCCAAUCUCAUUCUCGCAUAUGUGAAUGAACGGUUAAACCUUGUAAAAGCUAGAAAUGAAGCCUAUGCAGCUGGAUUACUAGGAAAAAAUGCUUGUGGAUCUGGUUAUGAUUUUGAUGUUCGUAUCCACUUUGAUGCUGGUGCCCAUAUUUGUGGUGAAGAAACAGCGCUUCUGGAGAGCCUUGAAGGGAAACAGGGGAAGCCAAGAUUGAAGCCUCCUUUCCCUGCUAAUGCAGGUUUAUAUGGCUGUCCCACCACUGUUACAAAUGUGGAAACGGUGGCUGUUUCUCCCACCAUAAUAAGGCGUGGACCAGAGUGGUUUGCCAGUUUUGGGAGAAAGAACAAUUCAGGGACAAUUAUUUUGAAUCUCGGGACAUGUGAACAAGCCUUGCACUGUUGAAGAGGAAAUGAACAUACCCUUGAAAGAGUUACUAGAGAGGCACUGUGGAGGUCUGAGGGGCGGAUGGGACAACUUACUUGCCGUAAUUCCAGGUGGUUCAUCUGUUCCAUUGCUUACCAACGAUAUAUGCAAUGAUGUGCUGAUGGAUUUUGAUGCGACCGUUUGACGAAUGGCUUUGCAACAAUUGUGCUUUUUUUUUGUCAAACGAAUAACUUUGUGCUGCUUCAACUCCAGAAACAUCUGCGAUGCUUGUUUUGUCAUUACCUUUUGAACAGUUAUCCCUUUGUGCUUCAACAGAUCCUAAACCUAAAGUGCAUUUUUUGUCAAACGAAUUACUUUAACAGACGUCCUUUGUGACGUGCUACGUAAAACGAAUAACCUUUUUUUUUUGUCAAACGAACUACUUUGCUGACCGACAUCCCACCGUACUUAUUUAUUUUAUUUUCGAUUGAUAAGUUUUCUUUUGCUGAAUUAUUUGUAUUUGUACGCCAUUGUUAAUUAAUAUAAUUUUUAUUAUAAAUUAUUUUUAUAUGUGAAAUUUAAACAGAAAUUAUGAAAAUAAUAAUAAUAAUAAUAAUGUAAUAAAAUAAUAGUUUAAGUUGACAUAUUAUAGAUAAAAAUUAAAAUAUAAAACAGAAAUUAUGAAAAUAAUAUGAUAAAAUAAUGAGUUAAUUUAAUAUAUUGGAUGAAGAGCAGAGCUUUAAAAAUGUUAAAGUGCCACAUAAAUUGUCAAAUGAAAUCUGACAUCUCUUUUAGAUAUGGUUUAGGAUAAUAUUCAAAUAAGCUGUACUACAAACAUACUUCCUACUUUAGUGAGUUAAAAUAGCUAUGACUUAAUCAUUAGCUAAUGAGAAUUAAUUAUUUAUUCAAAAUAAUAUUAAAUCAGUUAGCAUUAUAUAUGGAGAGCAAGAGCUCCUAGAUGAAUUCCUAUCCUAGGAGGCGGAUAUGGAGCAUGAUUAUAGUUGAUUUUUUUUUUAAAUCCUCUCUAAAUUAUUGUCAAGAGCUCAUUUAGGUUUUUCGAACUCAUAUUUACCAAUAAUCAAUUUUUAUAUCCUUUAAUUUUCAAAAUUUACAUACAAAUUUAGUUUCUGUAACUUAUCCGUUUCUCCAAGUGUCCCUCCCUUGCUGCUGUUGUUGCAUAACAUCGAAAUGCUCGUAAAUGUCGAUUUUGCUCAAUUUCUUGUCAAUUACAGCAUACUAUGAUUUCAAACAAAUAACAAUAUUAAUAUUUAAAAUAAUAACAAUCUAGACUAUCAGCAUCAGUUUCGACAAGAAUCUUGAUGCAAUUUCACAUCCAUUUUUUUCUCAUUUCCCGAGAAACAAACACAAUUAUCAUAAAAAUGAGAGUUCAAAUUAUUUUUUUAGGAAAAUUAAUGAAAAGAUUUUGAAAAUUUUAAGUUUUAAUAAUAAGGACAAAAUAAAGAGUAAAAUGAAUAGUACCAGGAUUGACUUUUUAGUGUAAAAAUAUAGUUUUUCGUUAAAGUGAACACUACCGCGAACUUUUCGUUAAAACUCCCUAUUUUUUUAGGACAAAGUCCCAAAAAAUAUAUUUAAAAUUCACCCGAAAAUGUUUGCUAGAGCUUCCUAACAACAAUUGGUGAUGUGCAAACUGUUUUCCUUUUGUUGAUUCUAAAACCUACUUAGCUUACGUGGUGCAUAGGUUGAAUAUCUAAUAAGUUAACUACGUCAUUCGGUUGAAUGCGGAAUAUGCCAACUCGUCGGCCAAGCUCAGCGGGGAGGUGAAUAAAUGUUGAUAGGGCGUUGAGCGCACUGAUGACUUCUAAAUCUUGCGACUGUGUUCGAGAAAGAACAUGUCUCGGCCUUCGGGCUCUAGAGCCUAAAGACAAGGCUGCUAGUUCUGCGAAAUUCAAUAUAAAAUUCGACUUUUCAGUGUGCUGAAUGUCUUAACCUGAUAACACCUCACUUCGACACCUCACUCCCUCUCCCAGGUUUCCACGUUGGCAAUUGGAAACUGUACGACAGUUCCCCAUAUCCUAUUCGAAUUCAAACCCAUUCAAACCCCAUUUUAUUUUCCUAAUAUCUCAAUCACUCCCUCCCUCUAUGCUUUUGGGUUUUGUGGUGUUUGGAUUAAUGAGUUUGUGUUUGUUCUUAGAUUAAUGCAGAAGAACUACGGCAGCAACAACAAUGGAGGCGAAGGUGAGAUGAAGAAGGAGGAAAGCCCAUCACCAUCAUCCUCAAGGUUGUCAAAUGCGCCAAAGCUUUUGGAGGUCCAAUAAUAAAUUCUUCAAAACCUUUGCUUAAUUAUUGGAUAAUAAAUUUUCAAGGUUGAUCUACCAGCCAGGUCACUGUCUCUUCUUGUAUAGAGAGAAAAUGGUAGUGAGAGAGAGAGUAAUUUAAACCGUGGAGGAAUUGGGGUGGUACAGUAGAAGAAGAAGCAGAGAAAAAUGGGGACGCUUCAGACGUGGAAUGGUUACGGUGCUCUCAAGGACUCCAAAAGUCGGCCUUGCCCACGUCAACAGAGAUUUACGCGGUACCAAUUCCUUUCCCUUUUGUUUAAUCUCCGUUGAUUUAACUAAUUAGAAGAAAACAAUAAAGAUUAGAUUUUGGUAAUCCGAAGGAAUUGGAUUUUGAUUUUUGGAUUUAAGUUUGUUUUCUAAGAAUAGAAUUUGGAUGUUGCGAUAGUCAAAGCCACCAACCAUGUCGACUGUCGAGUGCCCUCCCAAAGAGAGACAUCUCAGAAGUCAGUUUCUAAAUUUUCAAAUUAUUCAGAUUCGUUGUUUUAUCCAAUGGGCGGUUCAACUUUGAUCCAAAGAUGUGAGUUUUACAUUUGGGGUGUUUUGUUUGAUGCAGAGAUGUUGCUUAUUGCAUUCAUGCUUCUUUCAAGAAGAUUAAGCAGGAUGUUAACUACAUUGGGGAAAAUUAACGAACAAUGAAGAAUUGAGAAAGAUGAACAACCAGAGAGAAGUUUAGAGAGAAAUAAUGCUCUAUAUUCUGUAAAUAUGACUGGCCAAAUUACAUUUCUGAGUUGCACUUGUAACUAAUUAAUCAACUAACAGCCAAACAAAUAUUCUAACAACUUUGACUAACGUUACGGUGAUUGGUGAUUAUAUGACAGCCAAUAAUUAUAAGACAUUUGUCUUCACAAGACCCCUAAUUGGACGGUAUGCCGUGCUUGCCCAAUCCAUUGCAAAUUUGCAAUGCCAUCCCUUUUAAUUUCAAGAUUUUAUUGGAUGGUUAUUGGACUUACUAAUGUAUCUAUUUCCUUUGAAUUUCAAGUGGGGUUUGCUGAAUAUCGGAGAGCAUUUUUGCUCAUCAUCAUAGACUAUGAUGUACACUUAUCAUACAUCUAAUUAUCCGUCAUGUAUCAUUUUACAUAAUUACAGUUAGAUGAAAUGACACAUGGGUGAGCAAAAAUGCUCCCUUAAUAUCGUUGUUUACCAUGCCCUACUAUAUCAUUUGAGUUUGCUUGGAAAUAUACUUGGUCAAGUACAAAUGUAAAAACAAUAAACAUUGUACGUUGGGCAUCUCGUAAUAAAUCAUUAACGGUGCAAAAGUUCAUACUAUUUGUUAACUAAAAACAGUAAAAUAAAUGUCUUUUGACAAAUGUAAAUGUAAAAAUUAACUUAAAACAUUGUACGCAUGUAGUGAGCUAUAAUUAUAAAAUUGUCUUUAUAAUUAAAAAAAAAUUCGUAGGUCGUGUGACAACUCGUGCUUAAUUUUACGAUUUUAUAAAUUUUAAAAGAGUGAUUCGACGAAAAUGCCCCUAGAGUCAAGGAUUUCAACUUCUGUUGAUCAUCGUUUAGAGUGACAUGUGGCGUAUUCUUUUAGUGUAAUUGCGUAGUAUGCGAUUAUACGAACACACGGGGACACAAGCGAAAUCGAAUUUGAAGUUGCGAUGGAAAUUUUACAAAUUUGGAGGGCGAUUUGGUAUAUGUAUAGAGAUAUUUUGUUGCCCACACCCCACUCCUGCCAGUCCCGUGUCCCUUCUCUCUUCCUAACACCCUCUUUUUAUUUUUAAAACUUUUGGACCACUCUCUUGCUGCCACGUGUCCCUUUCCUCCACACAUUUCCGGAGGUCCCUCUCUUCACUCACCUCUCGUGCUGCCACGACAUCCCAUUUUCCUCUAACCCUCUCUCUCCUCUCUAUUCUUUCCCGUCUCUCUCACUCUAGCACUCUCCUCCCUCUGUAUUCACCGGCGCCGAGGCCAGCUUCCACCAUAUCGCCGUCAUCUCCGACGAGACCCACCAAACCAACACCUGGACUCUCCUUCUCUCCCUCACUAAAGAUCUAAACUCUCUGGGCAUGUACGGACCGAGGAGAGGACCGUUUCGAGUGAAACUUCUCCGGCGUGAUUCCGCCGUUCACGGCCUAAGUAAGAUUCGAGGUCCGUCCUUUCCCUUCCUCUUGAUGAGAUAGCUUGGUUUCUGAGUUACCAUGUGAAAAAUAAACGUGUUUUGGUGCAGAAAUACCUCGGGGAAAUACUCCCUAGUUUUCCGGCGAGCCAUCCGAGUUUUGUAAGCCAUUUCCGGCUAACUUCGGCCAUGGCUUUGUCUCCCAUUGGUAUAUUUCGAAUCCCUACUUCACGAGCUUCAUUUUGACUUUGAUUUCGUGAAAAAUGGUUGAGUUUUGAGCUCGUUUGGAGCUCGGCAAUUUGCUGCCCACGAAUAGAGGACCCGCGACAGGGACCAGGUCGACCCGACCGGAGAAAAAAAAAAGAAAAGGGCCUUAAGCUCAAACGCGGGCCAAAAUCCUUGGCCCAAAUCUUUAGCCCAACCAGCCCAAUCUUUUGGGCCAGCCGGCCCAUUUCUGAAUUUGAUUGGGAAUAUUUUCAGGAAUAUUCCUUAAGUUUGACUUUUUUUCAGAAAUUUUUCGAAAACCAAUUUCAACGUUCCGAGUUCAUUUUUGACACCCAUUUAGUGAAAUUCCAAAGUUUUAACAUGGUUGACCAUCGGGGCGUCUUGGUUGACUUUUUAGGGUUGGCCUUUAAUUUUUUACAAAAUUUACCAAGGACCCUCCUUAGCGUAUUUUGACAUUUCAAAUUCGUCGUCCGUUUUUCAAAAUUCAACCGUUUUAAGAUAGUUCAUUUAUUAGUCGUACCUUGUACGAAAAUGUGUAAUUACAUUAGUACGUUAUAUUUACCUAAAUGGUUUCAUUUCUAGGCGAAACGCUUCGCAAGGAUUCUUGAUGCUACGAGGCGGGUUCGACUCGACGACAUGAUUUGUAGGUAGGUCUUUUCUUUGAUAUAUAUAUAUAUAUAUAUAUAUAUAUAUAUAUAUAUAUAUAUAUAUUGGUUAGUUUCCAUAUGUACAAUUAUUAAUAAAUUCUCUACGUGAUUGCCAUGAUUAAACUUACGUUUAUAGGAAAUGCCUUAUUGUUGGGAAAUUAUGAAAUAAUCAUACCUGAUGCACAUGUAAGCUUACUAUAAGGGGAUGCCUUAAUUAUAUUUAUGGUCAUGAAUAGUAUAAUAUUGACUAGUAUUGUUGAAUGGUUGUGGCAUGAUUAUAAUUAUGUUAUUUGCUCAUUGUUUACUACACCGGUGUUGGUACUCGCCCGAGCUAGGGCUAAUCUUUCACGUGUCUGUGCACAUCGCACCGUACGUUCACCUUGGAUCCAUUGUAGGUGUCAGUCAUGUCGUACAGAUUGCAAUAGGCAACUCCAACUCGUAUGUGAUGCGCAUAGCGCCAGUUUUUACAUGAUUGUAAUACUAGAGCGUAUAUUAUUGUUACACUCAUUAAUGUUCAUGUCAGAAUACCUCUACAUAAACUCAUUCGUCGUCCGUUUUUCAAAAUUCAACCGUUUUAAGAUAGUUCAUUUAUUAGUCGUACCUUGUACGAAAACGCGUAAUUACAUUAGUACGUUAUAUUUACCUAAAUGGUUUCAUUUCUAGGCGAAACGCUUCGCAAGGAUUCUCGAUGCUACGAGGCGGGUUCGACUCGACGACAUGAUUUGUGAGUAGGUCUUUUCUUUGAUAUAUAUAUAUAUAUAUAUAUAUAUAUAUAUAUAUAUAUAUAUAUAUAUUGGUUAGCUUCCAUAUGUACAAUUAUUAAUAAAUUCUCUACAUGAUUGCCAUGAUUAAACUUACGUUUAUAGGAAAUGCCUUAUUGUUGGGAAAUUAUGAAAUAAUCAUACGUGAUGCACAUGUAAGCUUACUAUAAGGGGAUGCCUUAAUUAUAUUUAUGGUCAUGAAUAGUAUAAUAUUGACUAGUAUUGUUGAAUGGUUGUGGCAUGAUUAUAAUUAUGUUAUUUGCUCAUUGUUUACUACACCGGUGUUGGUACUCGCCCGAGCUAGGGCUAAUCUUUCACGUGUCUGUGCACAUCGCACCGUACGUUCACCUUGGAUCAAUUGUAGGUGUCAGUCCUGUCGUACAGGUUGCAAUAGGCAACUCCAACUCGUAUGUGAUGCGCAUAGCGCCGGUUUUCACAUGAUUGUAAUACUAGAGCGUAUAUUAUUGUUACACUCAUUCAUGUUCAUGUCAGAAUACCUCUACAUAAACUCGUGUGUCAGCAUGUAUCGAUGCACACCUGAUAUGAUAUGUUUGCUUAUGCGAGAUUAUGUGAUAUUGGUUGUUAUAUGUUCAUGGGGUGUGUUAUCCACACACCCCAUUUUACUUUUCACAUACCUCUUGAUAAUUUAUGUCCGUUGAUCUUCUUCAAUUCAUCGGAUCUGACGGUCGAAAAUAAAAAAGGUGUGUGAGAAGUAAAAUAGGGUGUGUGGAUAUCACACUCUUAUGUUCAUUUAUGCAAUAUUGCGACGUAUGGCAAUCUUGUGUUUUUGCAGGCUACGGUAGGUAUUUUCUUACUAUACGUAGUAUGUAUAUUUUGAAAACGAUACUUGUUUUACGGCGAGAGGUUAUAAUGUUUUCAAAAGGUUUUUAUUAAAAUUUUAUUUUCAGGCCCAUUCACCUUUGCUUUGCGCUCCUUCAGGUUUUAGCCGCUCAGUUUCGUAUCGAUAAGGAUUCUUGGCAAAUCCUAGUGUAGACUAUUCCCUCAUUGGUAUAAUUCUCACCUUAUCUUACUGUACUGUACUUAUACUCUGACAUCACAUGUAAAAUGAGUUCAUUCCCUCUCACAGUGCACUCUUAUAUUUAUGUACUUUUAGGUUUAAAUUUAUUCACUUUUCCACAUCACUACACCUUAUGGCUUCGUCACCCUCAUGGUGUCAACCAGUACAGCUUGAUUCGGAGUCGUAAUGAACAUUCCAGAUCAGGGUGUGUCACGUCACAAGUAACGCGCCAUGAUGUUUAAAAAAAAAAGCCUUUCGCACCCGUAUGAGCGGAUGCAAAAAGGCUAAUAUAUGUAACACAAGCCAUGAAUCCACUGAAUUUCAAGUGAACAGAGGCUUUUCAUAAAUGUAGAAAAAAUGGCCAAUAACAAUUACAAACUACUAACCAAAACAUCAUAAUAACAUAUUCAUUGAUAUUGGUGUGUUUGAAAUUGUUUUGAAAAUGACUAAAGACGCUUUCAAUGAAAGUGUUUUUAGAACCAAUCUUUAGUUAAAAUGUAAGUAAAUCCUCAAAAAGAACUUGAAGUGUUUUUUGCAAAAAGUACAUAAUUGGUGAUUCUUCCAAAAUUUCACUUAUAGUGCUUUUGGAAUCUAAAACACUUUUCACCAAAAUAGUUUCAGUCAUUUUAAAAGUACUUCCGAACAUGCACAACAUUAAUCAUUCCAUGAUAACUUGGUCAUCUAUACUAUUAAAUUUAAUAGAGAUAAUUAAUAAAAAAAUAAACACGAACACUUAAAUAAGAGGCAUGAUAGAGAUAAAUAAUAAAAAGUUAUCAGGAAUAAGAUAGAUUUACAAAUCUCAUUCUUGUUGAAUUAAUUUGAAUUUAGUAUAUGACAAUAUAUAUAUAUAUAUAUAUAUAUGUGUGUGUGUGUGUGUGUGUGUGUGUGUGUGUGUGUGUGUGUGUGUGUGUGUGUGUGAAGUUUCAGAAAAUGAAACGAAGAGUAGCUUUUGUAGAUUUGGAGUCUUGCUUCUAGGUUGCAGUUACCGUAAGAGAGAAAGAUCAAGGUAGACUUUUUUUUUUUAAUGAACUAUUAAAAUUAGGGAAUCUGAAUGAAACACUUCUAGUACUGUUUAUUUUUAACGAAAAUGAUAUUUUUACCUUAAAAGUCACUCCUGGUACUAUUCAAUUACAACUUUAUUUUGUCAUUUACGUUAAAACUAAAAGUUUUUUAAAACUUUUCGUUAGUUUUUCUUUACAACUAGUGUUUUUUUUAGGGGGGGGAAUGUUUUUGGUGAUGUAAUCACAUGUGGAAGUUGGGGGGGGGGGGGAAUGUUUUUGGUGAUGUAAUCACAUAUGGAAGUUUUUUCAUUACAACUAGUGUUUUUUUUUUAGGGGGGGGGGAAUGUUUUCGGUGAUGUCAUCACAUAUGGAAGUUGUCUUACUGGUCAAUACUAUAACUAUGUUUUUCGUGAUGUAAUCACAUAUGGAAGUUGUUUUACUGGUCAAUACUAUAACUAUGCUGGAUUUUUUUUUGGGGGGGGGGGGGGGGGGGGGGAGGGGGGGUUUACUAUGUUUUUGGUGAUGUAAUCACAUAUGGAAGUUGUCUUACUGGUCAAUACUAUAACUAUGCUGGAUUUUUUUUUUGUUUUUGGGGGGGGGGUAAUGAUAAUUUCAUGUGAAAUUAGAUGAAUUUUGGUGAUGUAAGCUUUUUAUGUAAUGAUACUUUCAUGUGAAAUUAGUUUUUGGUGGUGUAAGUUUUUGAUGUAAUGAUAAUUUCAUGUGAAAUUAGUUUUUGGUGAUGUAAUCAUAUAUGGAAGUUGACCAGUAUCAUGUGAAAUUAGUUUUGGUGAUGUAAUCAUAUAUGGAAGUUGACCAGUAUCGUGUGACAUUUGUUUUUGGUGAUGUAAUCAUGGGGGAGGGUGGGGGGGGAUUUUGAUGUAAUGAUACUAUCAUGUGAAAUUAUUUUUUGGUGAUGUAAUCAUAUAUGGAAGUUGUCUUACCGGUCAAUACGAUAAUUUCGGAUUCUUGCUACCGCGUUGCAGUUUCAUACUUUCAUGUGAAGGUUUAAUGUUAAGGUUUUAUUUAGGGUAAAUUACAUAAUAGUCCCUCAAGUUUGAGGUCUAUUACAAUCUCAUACAACAUCUAUAAAAUAUUUCACUUUCAUACCUCAAGUACUAUUUUAUUUCAAUAUAAUACAUCCGUUAGAUUUUUUAUCAAUUAAUCUAUUAAGCGCUGACGUGGCUGCUAAAUGUGUGCCAUGUGGCAAAACAAAUUAAUUUUUUUUAAACCUAAAUUUUCUCAACAAAAAAAAAAAAAAACCAUCCAUCUUCCCGCAACCCCCCCCCCCACCAAAAACAAACCCAGAUCCUUUUUCCCCCACCCACCUCACAGAAACCUCAUUCCUCUUCCUCACCCCGCCCAUCCUCCUCCUCUCCUCCCUCAUAUUCAUCUUCUUCCCCUUGCAACCCAGCCCAGCCCAGCCCCACCUUACCUGAGCGCAUCCGCACCCACCCUUUUUCCUCCUCUACACACUACACUCCUUAAAUCUCUUUUCACCUCACGAACCCGACGAUGGCGGACGGGAUCUGAGUUUUUUUUUUUUUUUUUUUCUUCUUCUAGGUUGCAGGUAGAGGGUCGGACGCACCCGCAUCCACCCUCUUACCCACCCUCUUCCAUCCUCUACGAACCCCACUCCUUAAAUCCACACCCAUUCCUCCCAUUUUCACCUCACGAACCCAACGAUGGCGGACGGGAUCUGGGUUUUGUUUUUUGUUUUUUUUUCUUUUCUUCUAGGUUGCAGGUAGGGGUUGGGGGAAGAAGAUGAAGAUGGGGGAGAAGAGAUGGGAGGAGGAGGGGGGAAGACGAAUUGAAGGGGUUUUUUUUUUUUUUGGUUGCGGAGAAGAUGAAGAUGGGUGCGGUGGGGUGUGUAGAGGAGAGGGAGGGCGGGAAGACGAAGUGGGCUUUGGUUUUUGGUUUUUUUUUUUUUUUUUAAUUUUAUAAUUUAUUUAGAAGAUUUAGGUUUUUAAAAAAAUAUUUAUUAGCUAUGUGGCACACAUUUGGCAGUCACGUCAGCAUUUAACAGAUUAAUGGUUGGAAAAUCUAACGGAUGUAUUAUAUUGAAAUAAAAUAGUACUUGAGAUAUAAAAGUGAAAUGUUUUAAAGAUGUUGUAUGAGGUUGUAAUGGACCGCAAACUUGAGGGGUUACUAUGUAAUUUACCUUUUUAUUUAUCACAUGGCAAGUAAUUAUAUAAUAAAAUAUUAAAAUCAGUGGGAGGCGGGGGGGGGCAUCACAUCUGGUAGUCGUACUUAUCAUUCAAUAAUACAACAAUUUUGAAUUCCUGCUAUUGGGUUGCAGUUCAGCACACAUAUGUGAAAGAAAAACAUACUUUCAUGUGAAAUUAGUUUUUGGUGAUGUAUUCAUAUACUUAUUGAAAUGGGUUCUAUAUAGGGCUCUGGUAGAGUCGUUCUUUGGAACUUUAUUAUCUCAUGAGUAUAGACUGAUAUAUAUUUAUGUAUAAUUAUUAUGAUUUUUUUAAAAUCAUUGUUGGGGGUGCAAUCACAUCAUUAGUUCGAAGUUGUUACUUAUCAAUUUGAAAUUCAAAUUUAAAACAAUAAUUAAUUAGCAAAUUGCAAAAAAUAAGUCUGAAUGAUCUCACAUGAGUAUCCCACUGUCAAUAAUACAACAAUUCUGAAUGGACUUGGAUUGUCUGCCCUCCCAUUUCGAUGUCAUUCUCGUGCCUUCUUGUUUGUGUGGUCACGAUUAAGCAACGUCAACAUUUUAUAUUACUAUUUCUUUUUGUUUUAUUAUUUUUAUAAAAAAAUAAUAUAAAAUGUUGACGUGGCUUAACCGUGACCACACAAAACAGGAGAGCACGAGGAGGACACCGAAAUGGGAGGGUAGACAAUCUAAGUCCAUUCUGAAUUCCUGCCAUGUGAAAGAGAAAAUCAAGGUAGACUUUUUUCUUUUAAACAUGCAGCACGUGAAAGAAAAAAAUCAAGGUAGACUUUUUUUUUCUUUUUUUUUUUUGAGUGAAACGAUAGCGUUAGUAAGUUAAAUGUUAGAUUAGCCAUCAACGAAGUUCGAAUCCAUGCCGUCAUGCAAUGGCACAACAUCUUUCCACCACUAUAGUAAAUGACCGUUUGCAACUAAAUUUUCUUUUAGUUUUAAAAGAGAAGGUUUAAUGUUAGGGAUUAAAAUUUUAAAUUAAUUUUUGUAAACUAAAUAUGUGGUUGUUAAUUAUUAAAUUAUUACUUAACUAUUGAUUAACGUAUUUAUUUUUUAUUGACAGUAUAUUAUUUAGUUUGUAAAUUUGGUUUAAAAUUUUAGUAUUAAUAUUAGAUUUGAUAUAUGUUAGACUUACUCUUGAUGUUAAGGGUUUUUUUUUAGGAAAACUAAUGAAAAUGACUUGAAAACUUUGAGUUUUAACGAUGAUGCCAAAAUAAAUGGUAAAGUGAAUAGUAUCAAAGUUGACUUUUUAAUGUCAAAAUAUGAUUUUUUAUUAAAAUAAAUAACAUGAGCUUUUCGUUAAAAUUCUUUUUUUUUUAAUUUUUUUUUCUAUCAUCAUCAUCACAUAGUAAGUGAUAUAUAUUAGUAAAGUAUUAAUAUCAAAUUUCAACUCUCAGGAUGAUUACACCACCCCAACCCACCUUGCUUCUGACCCAAUAAUAAAAUAAAUAAAACAACCCCACUACCCAGUGGUAUAAAACAGACCAUAGUACAAAAGCUUCCACACACUUUCUUCCCAGUAGCAUAAAACAGCCCCCGGCCCCUACACCAAUCAACCCCUCCUCACCGCCACCGCCACCUCAACUCUCAACUCUCAUUUCUCAUUCUCUCCUUCUGCUACUAGCUGCCUCUUUUGACCACCAUUAUGGCGGACGUUGAAAAUCAAAACCCUCCUUCAAAUCCGCAACCACGUCUAACCGAGACUCUGAGCAUCCUCUUGGCCUUAGGUACCAUUCUGUUUGUCGUCAUGGUGAGCCAGUUUGACUUUGUCUCCGCCGAUACGGCUAGUUGCGAAUGCAACCUGAAUAACUGUUCAUGCCUUCCUCCCUUCUACAUUUUCUUUGUCGUUGCCACGGCCGCGAUGUCUGUUGUUUGGCUUGGACUUUUUAUCCUCUCUGCCCGAUUUGAAUACCGCUUCGUUAUCUGGGUAGGGCUUGGCUUAGUGUGGGCUACCUACUGGCUCGCGGUGAUUUGCAGCCUUCCACCCCAGUUUUAUAAUCCUAUGCUUUAUUCCUUCAAUCCUGUUAUGGCAGUCCUAUUGUUACUUCACCUAAGAUUUCAAAAGGUCUCGAAACGUGCGAUGCAUGUCCUAUCUGACAACUGGAACAACGUGAUCCAUGUCAUAUCUGACAACUGGGACUGCGUGAUCCAUUUCAUAUCUGAUAACUGGGACCGCUCGAUCCAUAUCAUAGCUAACAUCUAUGUUCUGUUUUGGAACUAUGUCACAGGAAACUUCUAAUAUUUGGGUAUUUAAAGUCUGUUCAUACUUUUUUGCUUUUUUCUUUAUAAUUUUUUUUUCGAAAUUACCGUUUCUUGAUUUAUGUGUGUGUGACAUGUUAACAUUUUUAUGAAAAAUUAUUUUAAAGUCAUCUUCAAUUUUUAAGUUAAAAUUUUAAAUUUUUAACCCAAAAAUUUUAAAUUUUGACCCAUAAACAAUUUUUUUGUUCUAAUGAUUUUGAGUACAAAUUUUAAGCCGAGAUUAUUAAAUGAUGAAUUUACGGUACUUUUAAUUCAAUAACUUUUUUCAAAAUAAAAUUUAUGUAGAUUAUCAUAAUUUAUUUUUAUAAAAAUUUUAACCUAAAAAUAUUUAAAUUCCGAGAAAAGUUAAAAAUUCACUAAACGGACCUUAUGAAACAUGUAUUAUAUAGUUUUUAGGUGAAUUUUAAUUUAAAUAUUUUUUAAUUGUUUUAACCGUUAGAUUUUUUUAACCUUUAGAUUGAUCGUAUUCUAUCUCAGCUGUUAUAUUUAAUGUUUUUUAAAUUAUCCAAAUUUUAGGUUUUAAGCUAAACCUUAUUUUACCCAAUCAUUAGAAUUUGAUUGAGUUACUUUUAAACCUAAAAUACCUAUACAUAUUUUACAUGUAUACACAUUUAAAAAAAAAUACUCUCGAAUAAUACAUGUACACCACACAUGUUUCAUAUUUUACAAACUAUGAUUUGCGUAUAUAUAAUAUAUGAGUUGUUGAUGUCGCUCAAAUACAAAAUACACUGAAAAAUUACAAAUGCUUUAAUUGGCAACAAAAAAUUAGACAAGCUACAGGCAAACAAUGUUUGUUACGUUACUUCUUUCUUCUGUUUUUGUAUGAGCAUCUUACUUAUAUUAUUUUUUUAAUUAUUUCCAAUGUUAUUUUCAGAUCAGAAGAAAGAUGGAGAGAGAGCCAAUUAUCAGCAAAAUUCCCUGUCCAUUCCUCUUCUUUUGAAUGUAAUAGUUGUCUUUUCCUACUAGCUAAGUUUUUAAUAUUUGGAUCUCUCCAUGAAACAUACUUGUUAUAUUUAUUCGGUGGUAUGUAAUUUUAGAAUAUUUUGGAUCUCUUCAUGUAAGACUUGUUAUAGAACUCGUUUCGAAGUACUUUGAAAAUAGCUAAAAGAGCUUUUGGUGAAAAUGUUUUUUUUUUAAACAAAUCCUUAGUAAAAAUGCAAGUAAAUCCUAGAAAAGUAUUAAAGUACUUCAUGUAAGAAGCACCCAGUUAAGUGCUUAUUCCAUGAAGCACUUUAAGUGCUUCUAGAAUUCAAAAAUAUUUUCACUAAAAGAAUUUCUAGUCAUUUUAACUGUACUUUCAGACAAGCCCAUAUUUAUUAUGUGGUGUGUAAUUUUAAUAUUUUGGAUCUCUAUAUAUGAGCUGCUAUAUUUAUUCGGUCAAGUGUGUAAUUUUGUUUUUAAUAUUUGUGUAAGUGUAAUGUUUAUUGAAUAUUUGUGUUAUUGUCGAUUAUCCCUCCUCUCAUUAAAUAUAGAAAUAUUGUUGUAUAAAAAAAUCAUCAAAAAUCAUAACACUAAUCCCCUCACACUUAAACGUCCUUGUGUCUUAUUAAAGAAUAAUACUACACUUACCCCAUAUUUAUAUCAUCAUGUUACCCUCCCUCUAAUAAAUUUUGUAAGAGGAUGUCUGAUAACUAUUUCGUUUUCAACUUUUAGUUUUUAUACUUCAAAUCUUAUUUGGUAAUUUCCUUCAAAUUUUCAGCUUUUAAAUGAAAAUUGAAAAUUGAAAAUACUUACCAAAUAAGAUUUCAGUUUUUUUUUUAAAUUGAAAUAAAAACUAGGGAUGGGCACCUGAAACCGAAAACCGAAACUGAAACACGAAUCAAAUCGAACCGUAUCGAACGAUUAGGUUUUGCGGUUUUGAAAUCGAACCGCAAAGUAGGAAACGGUUUGGUUUCGGUUUUGGCUUUUGAAAACCGCAUCGAAACCAAAACCGCACCUCAAAUUAAAUGUCAUCUUUUAUAUGGUUGUUUGUUAGAGUCCAUAUAGUUAGUAUUGGACUCAACCACACUAGAAUGUCAUUCAUUUCCACCCCUAUUCUAUUCGACAAUUAUCACUUAUCAAUGCAGCCCUUCGAAGAGGAAGAGCUAUCUUGCAUUUCUUUAGGAAACUAAAUAGUAGAUUAACAAAAUCAUCCCCAACUUCUCCAUAACAAACCAUGUUCCUAGAUUUGAUAACCAUAAGCUUAUCAGUAGAUGGUGCAAAUUAACACUUGCAUUAGGAUUAACAUGUAAUUUUAUUGGUGCAAAUUUACAUACAACGUUUUUGGUAUUUUACCAUGUUAGUAAUUAACAUUUAAAGGUGCAAAAACAAGUGUGUGUGUGUGUGUGUGUGUGUGUGUCUAUAUAUAUAUGGAGUUGGAAUAUAUGUCAACUGUUACAAGCAAAUAUAGUGUGUUGACUUAUAAACAAUUAUCCCAUCCUCCUCAUUUAUAUGUUCAAUGUAGGCUUUAUUAUGCUAAUUAGCCUCUGUUGCAAAAUACAAAUCUCCUUCGUGGCGAAAACAUGCAGACAAUCCUAUUUUAUUUAUUUUCAGCAUAUAUUAACACUUGCAUUAGAUAGGUAUAAACAUGUAUUGUUUGGAAAAUGAGACCGUCUUAUGCGUAGAUAGGUGUAAAUUUUAAACUGUACAUUUUUUUCUUCUCAAAACCAAACCAAAACCGUUUGAAACCGCACCAAACCAAACCAAAUGAUUUGGUUUCAUUUCGAUUUUGGCUUCAAAACCGCACCGCCAAAAGUUUCGAUUUCGGUUGCGGUUUCACUCAAAAUCGCACCGAGCUGAACCGUGCACACCCUUACUAAAAACUGAAAAUGAAAUGGUUAUCAAACUACUCAUAAGAACAUUCUUGAGCCUUGCCAACUCAAUAAACUUUUUGAACUUACAAAAGAUUCAAACAAAUGGUGGACUACUUUAGCUCACAAAACUCAACUUCAAUGGGAGCCCAAAGUAUCUCUUUUUCUUUAAGGGGUCGUUUGAUAAUUAUUUCGUUUAGUUUAUGAAAACCUGAAAAUUGAAAUCUUAUUUGGUAACUACUUUUAGUUUUCAUUUUUAAUAAAAAUAAACUAAAAACCAAAACUCAACCAUUCUUGAGUUUUUAAAAUAUGGCAUUGAAUUUUCACUUUUUUGAAAACUGGCAAAAAAGAUUUUAGCUUAAAAAAAAAAAAAAAAAACUGAAAACCAAUACUAAAAACUGAUAAAAAUGUAUACCAGUCUUACAUUUUACCUUAUUCAAAUAAGUAUAUUAUUUUCUUGUUCAUUAAAUAAAAAGUAGGACAAAUGGUGGACCACGUUCAAACGUGAAAACACACGAACCAAUUGCAACCUCAAUAUGUGGAAUCAUCUUGUUCCAUGUUAAUUGAUGUACAAAUUCAAUAAACUCAAUAUUGUCCUUUGUUUCCUUCACAAUCAAAAUUCAAAAAAGUUUAGAAAAUGAGGAUAAAAUGGUAAAACCAGUAUUACUACACAGGAGAGAAGAUGAACGUGGUUUGGUUUGGAAUUGCUACGAGCAGUUGCGUUCGGUUUCUCUCUUUCUUCCACCAUCCACCACGCAAAAACUCAAUCGUCUCAAUCUCUCAGGUAUUUUUCUUUAUUUUCUUCUCUUCUUCUCUUCUCUUGCUCUUUUUGGCGUUGAUUUCUUUCUCCAUCAUGUCUUAUCAAGAAUGAAUUUGAAGUCUAAAUUACGGCUAAAUUAUAGAGGAGAAAAUCUGGAAGGAAUCCAUUGGUGGAUUCAGGCUCGACUCUGAAACGGCAGCGAUCGAGGUUAGAUCAGAAGCAUGCUGCAGUGGGCAGUGAAACCUCGAUUUUCGGAGCAGCAACAACCUUAUUUGGUGGAGUUGAGCAUGCGACUCCGACUUAAAUUGAAUAAUCUUUGCGACGGAGCAACUCGGUUUGCAAAUAACUUAUGAUGAACUGAAACAUUCCUCCCAAUUUUUACAACCAACAUCUCACCGCACACCUUGAGAACAAAAGGGUACGUAAAAUUGUCUGCUUUCUGUCCAAAACUAAGUAUUUCACGGUACAAAACCAGAGACAUAAACAGAUAUCCAUUACAGGCAUAUUCCUUGAUUAUGAAAUUCCACAUGAACAAGUUUUUCAGUAAAAUCCCAACAAGUUUUUCAGUAAAAUCCCAUAAAAAAUAUGAUGCGCUUGGGGCAUUUACCGCAGUACAUAGAAAGGGGCGAUGAAGGCGACAACGUGGAGGUUCUUGCCAUUUGGUAAGGAUUUGGUUUUGAUGAGGGAUCGGAAAUUUUUAAUUCUCCCCUUACUUCAAAUGUUGAAGAUCCAUAAGGAAGAGGUGUUUCACUUCAUUAGUUUGUAUAUUAGAAUUUUUUUAUAUAUUUGUAUUUUGUAACCGUAUGAUAGGAUUACAAAUAGUAACGAUUUCACUAAAUCUCUCUGGCUUUAAUUCUGUAUUGUUUUAUCCUUUUUGUGUGAGAUUCUAUCAAUUAUUUACAAUCUCUGCAUUCUUAUUCAUGUGCUUAUAACAACCAUUUAAAUUGAUUAUUAUUUUUCUUGCAGUUCCAAGCUUUUGAUAAAUUAAGGCCAACUCUCUCGAUCUCCCUCUUUUUCCUGCUUUCUUUCAAUUUCUUGGUAUGCAAUAGUUCUUUGCCUAGAUUUUUUUAUAAUAUUAUUUACUAUUAUUAUAUUUUCUUCUUCUAUGUAUUAAAAAAAUCCAGAAGACAAAAACUUUAAAAGGACCACAAUCCAAAAAUACUCUUAUUUGAUUCAGAUUUUAAGAAAAAAAAUAUUUCAAUUUGUAGUCUUCUAGCAAAACAAAACUACCACGUAGAGGGAUAAAAAGAUAAAAACAUGGGUAUAGAGGUUUUUUUUUAAUUUUUUAAUUUUAAUUUUUAACUUGGUAGAAUGGCUAUAGAGUUUUGAAUGUGGGAGAAGACAAGAUAAGAGCAAUGAGUUUUCAUUGGUAGAAUGGCUAUAGAGUAUUUAGGGUUUUCAUUUAAGUUCGUAAUAUGCUUUUCAAUUAUUGAAUGGUUUAUUUCUCCCUCUCCUUCUUCUUAUAGGGAAAUCUAUGAAACGAUUAUUGUUGAAUUGAUGCUUGUUUCAUUUGGAGAAUAGUCAUUCUGACUUUUCUCAUUCUAAUUCCUUUUUACUAUUCAUAUUCAUUUUCCAUUCUGAUUACAUGUACGUAAAUAUGGAUCGAUUUUUAGUCAUCGACAUUCAUAUGUUUUGCAGGUUCUUGAUCGCGGUGAGAAGAUUGAACUAUUGAUGGAUAAACCUGAUAAUCUUUGCUCCCAGUUAAUUAGUCCAUAGUUUAUGUGUAUCAGAAUAAUAUUUGAUUUCUUAAUAUGUGGCUUCAUUCAAAUGGAGUUUGUUUUUAUAUUGAGUUCUUACAAUUGUGGUAGCAUAAAUUUGACAAAGCAGUUUGCAAGCGGAAUGGGAAAGGGUAAGAUAUAUAUCAAGAAAUAAUAGAUAACAUACUAUGAAGCCAGAAACCCUAUCAACUCCAUCUUUAGCAAUUUUUAAUAAGAUAAAUUGUUCAAACAAAUGUAAUCAAAGUCAGUGUACUUCGUGGUACUGUAAGGAAAAUAAAUAAAUAUAUAUAUAUAUGAAUUCUUACUCUUCAACUUAAUGCCAUAGAUUGAUUGUUUAAUUUAUUCUCUUACAUUAUUAUUUGAUUCCUUGAAGUAUUUUUACCUUUAUUUUUUCCUAAUCUCUUUGAAUGUGCUUUAGCGCGUACAAGGAGCCUUUAUUUUAUCACGCAUUUUACACCUAACUUAAUUAUAUUCCAAUACCUUUUAUUUGUAAUUGUAUGUAUUUUAUUUUUAGGACGCCAUAUAAGAAAGAAAACAACUACCACAACACAUUUUAAGGGGUAAGUAGCACCCAUGAUUAAAAAAGGCCUCUCAUGCGUGUGAGCGUUUGCAGAGAGACUAGUAGUAAAGAAAACUAAUGAAAAAAGUUUGAAAAGUUUGAAUGUUAACCAAAAACUAGGUACUAACUUUAUUUAAUGGUUAGGACAAAACACAACACUAAACCAAUCCAAUUAAAAUGGUCCAAACACUGAUUUUUCAAUUUUGCCCCUACCUUUUCCGUUUAAUAUCUUUCUUCCUUCUCUCUUCCACUCUGUCUUCCCCAUUUCUUCGUGAAUCCUCACUCUUAGAGCAGUUCCACCGUGGUGUAUUACCCGGUGGACUGGGGAUGGAACAGGGCCAAAUAGGCCGGUGGAUAAGGUCUAGCGUAUGCCAGCUCGAGGGAUAGGCCAUGCCCGAGCAACAGGCUUGGCAGGGAUUGCCAGCUCGAGAGCCCGAAGGGAAUGUGACGUGGGCUGACGUCAGCCACAAUAUAAAAUUAAUAAUAAUAAAAAAAAAUUAAAUAAAUGAAAACCCAAGCUUCGAACUCAACGGCUCUCGCCGGAGUUCGUUGCCGAUGUUGAUAAUACACCCACAGAUAAAUGGCAGAGACUAAACCCAAGGGUUUCAACUCGGAGGCAUGCGUUGAAGGUAAGGCGAGCACAGCACCUGAACCUGCUCCUGCAGAAAUCUGAUGUAUCCCAUCGCUUCGUGAAGCACCGAUGCUGUGUCUGUCUGCAGACAUUCAAUUGUCCAAUUUCCUAGAAGAACACCCAAAAAAAAAAAAUCAGAAUUUUUGGGUGAAUUUUCCAAAAAUAUGGUUGAAAAAAAUGUAACUGGGGUUGGUUGAUUUGGGGUUUUGCAAUUUCACCUUGCCAUAUGGUGAAACGAGCUACUGCAGCGCUGUGAUUCGUUCUCCAAGCUUCUCCUUCCUCUGUAAAUUUGCAAAAAAUCAGAACCCAUGUGUAAAAUCACAGAAGGAAUUGUUCUGCUUUGCAGAAACGGAAGAGAAAGAGAGAACAAAGCAUGCAGAUAGUGGGUUUUGAGGAAGGGGAGAGAGAGAGAGAGAGGCAUGCAGUGAUCUAGAUGACUUUUUGGAGUUCUGUUUUUGUUGAAAGGUCGGACCUUUUCGUUGCCGGCCGAUGUGGGAUUUUCUGAUUUCGUCUUUUCAACGGCUCUCUGGGUUGGAGAGAGAGAGAGAGAGAGAGAGAGAGAGAGAGAGAGAGAGAGAGAGAGAGAGAGAGAGAGAGAGAGAGAGAGAAAGAGAAAGAGAUAGAGAGAGAGAGAGAGAGAGAGAGAGAGAGAGAGAGAGGGUGAGAGGGUGAGAGAGAGUGUGUUUUGGGAAAAAAUUGAAAAGGAGUAGGAAAAAGGAAAAAGGAAAAAAAUUAAAAUUUAUUUUGUAUUAUUUUAUAAAUAAAAAAUACUAAUAUUUUAUUAUCAAUUGUCAGGGCUAUUUAGUGUAGUGGUGGAGAUGCAAAAGGUAGUUACUGUUCAUUAAUAGCAGUUACUGCUCACGGGGUGGAUUGAAUAGUGAAUAACCUGGGGGAGGGCUCCCACGCUGGAAUUGCUCUUACAAUGCAAUAAAUUUUGGAAAAUCAAUGAUUUCACGAAAUCAGGCGAUUCUGUGGUGAGUUAGGUGCAUCUCUAAUCUGAUUACACAAAAGUUGAAGAAAGAAAUGAAAAACGCACAUGGGUCACUAUAAAAUUUGUUGAUGUUGUCCUUGUGGUUGUUGGGGAUACUUUCUCAACUACCAAAUUACAGAGAGACUUACAAGUACGAUUAUCUUUGCAAGAGCAGAGGUGACUUACUUGCUCACUUUGAGAAGAGCUUCAUGAAGGAGAGGAAAUGAGAGGUUGGGGCAAGCGAGAAAAGAGAGAGAGAGAAAGAAAAUGGUGAAAGAGAGAACAGGGAAUGCAUUUAUCGAAGGAAAUAAAAUGUCCAUAAGUGAAUUAAUUAUUUUAUUAAUAAGAAUAUUAAAUAAAAUAAUGAUUAAAAAGCUAAACCAGCAAAAUUGAAAAAACUAAACAUUAAAUAAAUUUUAAAAAUGUUAAAAUAACAUUAAAUGAAUUUUAAAUGUAUAAUUAUAAACAUUUUUAUAUACAAAUCAAUUUACAUUCUUUAACAAAUUUAGAAUGAAUCAAAUAUCAUACUAUCUAUGUCUCCUCUCUUGCGAAUGAUACCAUAAGUUACUAGUGAAUCCUGUAACCGAACCGAACUGCGAACUUGAACUGUACUCCGUAUCUAGUAACUAUGGACCAACCAAAUCAUUUCUAAUCAAAUAAAAAUAAAUGAUUUUUGUGUUUGAACAGUGGCUUACAUAAUAUACAUCGCAUUUAUUUCUUGGUAACCAAACACAAUUGAGGAAAAGGAAAUUACGAACCUAAACAGUGGCUUCUAUUAUGAAACUAAACCAAAAUAACCCAUCAUAUUUCUGAGACUAAACCAAAAUAACCCAAGCUAUUUUUGGAACUACAGCAAAAUAACUCACACUAUUUUUUAAACUACAGCAAAAUAACCCAACAAUUUUUUAAAUUGAACCAAAAUAAUACACAUUAUUUCUGGAACUACAACAAAAUAACCCACACUAUUUCUAAAACUUAACCAAAAUAAAACACAUUUCUGGAACUAUAGCAAAAUAACUCACUAUUUCUGGAACUGAACCAAAUAACCCAUACUAUUUCUGGAACCACAACAAAAUAACCCACACUAUUUCUGAAACUACAGCAAAAUAACCACAUUAUUUAUGAAAGUGAACCAAAAUAACCCACAUUAUUUCUGAAAUUAUAGCAAAAUAACCCACCAUAUUUCUGAAACUAUAGCUAAAUAACCAACAAUAUUUCUGAAACUUAACCAAAAUAACCUACAUUAUUUAUGGCACUACAUCAAAUUAACCCACACUAUUUUUGAAACUGAACCAAAAUAAUCCACACUAUUCAUAAAAUUAUAGCAAACUAACACAGUAUUCCUGAAAUUGAACCAGAAUACUAUAGAUUACCACUAAUUUAAUUACAAUACUAUGGAUGAUAUAGUCAAUCCCAAUGUGUUGCAAACUUAUGGUAGUCUUAAUAAACGAACCACCUACUAUAACACGAGUAUACUAAAAAUACUGCAAAAACAAAUGUUUAUUAGUACUGGAAACACUAAACACAUGAUUAGUUUAAUAUAUAAUUUCCAACAAAUAAUAGAAGUGAUCUAAUCUUUUCGAUAAGGAAUAAAAAAGCAUUAAUAUGAUAGCACUAGCAAGACAACAGUUUUAACGUAUCACAAGAGAAUUAUACAUUCCAAAUAGAAAAUAACAAAAUAACAAACAAAGGAAUCACUCAACAUAUUAAUGCUGAAAUUCUGUUAAUCGAUAUGGGAUGAAGCUGGAGAGGUGGCAGGGAAGGGGAGCUCAAAUAAUUCCUUGUGAUUUGGAAAGUGCCAAACAAAAGGGCAUCAUGUAAUACUAAAACGCAGUAGUAAAUAUCACAACUUUCAGGGGUAUAUUGGAAUACUAGAAAAAGGUUUGGGAGUAUAUCAAAGCUCGGGCUGGAUUGACUCAAAGCUCACACACAUUUGACAGCGGGCUCAAACCUCCAGGGUUGUUAGGCCAUCUCUAACUGAAGGGUCCAAAGGGCCAAGGGCUGAAAAUAACCCUAAAAUCGUCUCCAAUCGAGGGCUAGACCAGAGAGCUCGGGAAUCUGGGAGGGCCCCACGGAAUUUCAAAGGGCCAAAGGGCUGGCUGCUGGCUGGCUAUUUUUUAUUUUUAUAGUUUUUCAUUGCUGUCGGUUAUAACCGACAUCAUUAAAGAAGGAUUUUAAUACUGUCGGUUAUAGCCGACAGUAAUAGUUAGGCAAAGGCAAAUUUUUUUUUUUUAAUUACUAUUAGUGUUGGUUAUAACCGACACUAAUAGUUUGAAUUUUUUUUUAAUAUAACGGCUAGUAGCCGUUGUAUUAAUUUUUUUUAUAUGAAUUUAAACUUCUUUUUUUCCCUUAUUUUUUUCCUUUUCAUAUGAAUCAAAUUUUGUUUCAUAUUUUUUUUCAAUUCUAUUUUACAAAAUUUGUUUCAUAUUUUUUUUAAAUUCCAUUUUUUUCCUAUAACUUCUAUUUCACAAAAUUUGUUUCAAUUUUUUUUAAAUUCUAUUUUUUUCCUAUAACUUCUAUUUUACAAAAUUUGAUUGAUAUUUUUUUUUCAUAUAACUUCUAUUUUACAAAAUUUGUUUCAUAUUUUUUUUAAAUUCCAUUUUUUUCCUAUAACUUCUAUUUCACAAAAUUUGUUUCAUCUUUUUUUUUAAUUCUAUUUUUUUUCCUAUAGUGUUGGAAUCUAAAGGUCUUCACCUAAGCCGAUCAAAGACAGAAUAUAUGGAGUGCAAGUUCAGUGCAAAUGGAGGCCAAAACGAGUUAGGGGUGAGGAUCGGAGAUCAAGAAAUACCAAAGAGCGACCGUUUUCGUUACCUAGGAUCUAUCUUGCAAAAGAACGGAGAAUUAGAUGGAGAUCUCAACCAUAGAAUACAAGCUGGAUGGAUGAAGUGGAAGAGUGCAUCCGGCGUGUUGUGUGACCGCCGUAUGCCACUGAAGCUCAAGGGAAAAUUUUAUAGGACGGCAAUAAGGCCGGCGAUGCUGUAUGGCACAGAAUGUUGGGCGGUGAAGCAUCAACACGUACACAAAAUGGGUGUAGCGGAGAUGAGGAUGCUUCGUUGGAUGUGUGGGCACACGAGAAAGGAUAAGAUUAGGAAUGAGGAUAUCCGGGGUAAAGUAGGAGUAGCCGAAAUUGAAGGAAAGAUGAGAGAAAAUCGGUUACGGUGGUUUGGACAUGUGCAAAGAAGGCCUACUGACGCUCCGAUUAGAAGAUGCGACUAUGGGACAGAGGUUCAGGGCCGAAGGGGUAGAGGAAGACCCAGGAAAACUUUGAGAGAGACCCUAAGAAAAGACUUAGAGUACUUGGAUCUAACGGAGGACAUGACACAGGACAGAACACAAUGGCGUUCUAAGAUUCAUAUAGCCGAUCCCACUCAGUGACUUGGAUUUUCCAAGUCUCCAACCGAGAAGUUGUCCUCGUUCGGGAAAUUAAGGGAACACUACCUCAACCUACAUGCUCCACUCACAAAGCUCCAACAUACAAGCUUCAACAAAAGAAAAUUCAAAGAACUUAGCGAAGAAGGCUUUGGUGAUUUAACACAAUACGUUGAAAUGAAGGAAAGCUUAUUUAUUGAUAUCUUGAUAAAUUACAAAUAUGUACAUAUACUUGAGUCAAAAUAAACAAACAAGAGGGAGCCUUCACAAAGGUUGCUUAGGAGAAUUCUCGGCAGUCAGUAGAGCCCCAGAAAGAGAAGGCACCGGAGGGGGAUCAUUCGGAGCCUCAGUACUGGACAGAACCCUAGAAGGAGGAGGCAUCAGAGGUUGAUCAUUUGGAGCUUCAUUACGCGGUACAGCCCCAGAAGACGAAGACAAUAAAUGCCUUUGGAACAAACCCACAAAUCUCUGAUGAUCAAGUAAAACCUGACCAUCAGAUUCCUUCAUCUGGUCAAGCUUCCUCUUCAUGUUUGUAGCAUAGUCAUGUGCGAGCCGGUGCAACUGUUUAUUCUCAUGCUUGAGCCCUCUAAUCUCCUGUUUGAGACUCAUCACUUCAGCCGCCAAUGAUUCAACUUGGCGGGUUCGAGCAAAUAGGCGUUGUGCCAUAUUAGACACAGAAACCUGCACACUGAACACUAAGAGCCAGAGAAUCCUUAACAGCCAACUCAUCAGACCGUUUGGAAAGUAGUCUGUUAUCUUUGGGAGUGAGAAGGUUCCUGGCCACUACCGCAGCGGUCAUAUCAUUCUUCAUCACGGAAUCCCCAACGGUAAGAGGACCAGUAGGGGAGACGAAGGAUGGGCGCCAUAUGUUGUCUGGAGAAGGCGGGGCUGCCUCUUCAACAAGGUUCAAGUCAAAACGACGGUCGGAGGGGCCAGACAUUUUCAAAGGUGUAGAAGAGAGAAGAGGUCGGACAAAUCAAGUUCUUAGAAGUGCAAGAAUGGAGCUUCUACAGGUGGAUAUUCAAGUGUGCUUUGGAACUUAAUGUUAGCCUCUAUAAAAAUCUGCACUCGACGAAGCUUCAGAAAUCGAAGAGGCGUUUGCUUUCUCAAAAGCUGGGCUGCUCAGAGACCACGAGGGUCGAUCUCAGAAAAUCGAAGAGGCGUUUGCUUUCUCAAAAGCUGGGCUGCUCAAAGACCACGAAGGCCGAUCUCAGAAAUCGAAGAGGUUUGCUUUCUCAAAAAGCUGGGCUGCUCAGAGACCACGAGGGCCGAUCUCAGAAAUCGAAGAGGUUUGCUUUCUCAAAAGCUGGGCUGCUCAGAGACCACGAGGGCCGAUCUCAGAAAUCGAAGAGGUUUGCUUUCUCAAAAGCUGGGCUGCUCAGAGACCACGAGGGUCGAUCUCAGAAAUCGAAGAGGCACCUACUUUUCCAACCUUGUCAGCACCUGUCACACGCACACUCAGCUUUGCGGAAAUUAUGGGCAUUCUGUCGAAGAUUUCUGGCGAAGUAGAAAGCACAUGAAUCGUACUGUUCAAUCACCCACUUCCCACACGCAACAGUAGCUCAUGGGUACCACAUAUAACUUUGCCAAAGUUCUCUGACAAAGUUGAGACUACUUUUCCAGCCUUGUCAGCACCUGUCACACGCACACUCAGCUUUGCGGAAAAUUAUGGGCAUUCUGUCGAAGAUUUCUGGCGAAGUAGAAAGCACAUGAAUCGUACUGUUCAAUCACCCACUUCCCACACGCAACAGUAGCUCAUGGGUACCACAUAUAACUUUGCCAAAGUUCUCUGACAAAGUCGAGACACGUGAAGCUUGCAACUCUCACUACAUCGCUCUGACCAAGAAGGGUAAAAAGAAUAGCAAAGAAACAACACUAACAAAGUUUAGACACAUAAAUUUUGACAGCCUAGCUACCAUAUUAUUACCCACAAGGGUAAAGGAACAGUACCACUGCUGGAUAAUUGGAAAGUCCCGGUGUGUCAACCUCUGUGCUUCAUGGCAAGGUAGACUAGCAAACAUGCCCAACCUUUACUCACAUUCGAGAAAAACACUCCCAACAAGAUUGCUUGCCCCAAAAUCGAAGAGGCAUCGCCCUCCGAAUCUCGAGAGCCAGACUCCCAACAUGAUUACUUUCUCAAAAAUCGAAUAGAGGGUAAAGGAACAGUACCACUGCUAGAUAAUUUGAAAGUCCUUGUGUGUCAUCCUCUGUGCUUCGUGGCAAGGUAGACUAGCAAACAUGCCCAACCUUUACUCACAUUCGAGAAAACACCCCCAACAAGAUUGCUUGCUCCAAAAUCGAAGAGGCACCGCCCUCCGAAUCUCGAGAGCCAGACUCCUAACAUGAUUACUUUCUCAAAAAAAUCGAAGAGAGGGUAAAGGAACAGUACCAAUGCUGGAUAAUUGGAAAGUCCCUGUGUGUCAACCUCUGUGCUUCGUGGCAAGGUAGACUAGCAAACAUGCCCAACCUUUACUCAUAUUCGAGAAAACACUCCCAACUCCCAACAUGAUUACUUUCUCAAAAAUCGAAGACACCGCUCUCCGAAUCUCGAGAGCCAGACCCCCAGCAUGAUUGCUUUCUCAAAAAUCGAAGACACCGCUCUCCGAAUCUCGAGAGCCAGACCCCCAGCAUGAUUGCUUUCUCAAAAAUCGAAGAGGCAUCGUUCUCCGAAUCUCGAGAGCCAGAUCCCCGACAGGAUUGCUUGUUCGAAAACCGAAGAGGCACCACUUUCCCAACUUCAAGAGCCGGAUCUCCUUGGAUAAAGCUUGUCUGUAAUCUUCACACGCAACAUCAGCUUUCCAGAUACCACAGACCACUUUUUCAAAGUGCUCUGACAGAGUUAAAAACUUGUGAAGCUGGCAGCUCCCACUACCGUGCUAUGACCAAGCAGGGUAAAGGAAUAGCAUUAUUACUUGAUGUUAGGGAGACUCCUAUAUAUGUCGACCUCCAUCCCCAACGGACAGGCAGACCUGCAAAAAUGCUCAACCCUUCCUCUUAUCUGAGAGGGCACUCCCAACGAAGCCUUUCAAAAUAUUCAGCUUUCUUUCCCCCCGAUAAUACCUCUGUAAACAAGCUAUAUACUAGAGCAAGAAUAUCUCAUAUCAUCAGGGUUAAAAGUAAGAGUAUCCCAUAUCAUGCUUUUUCCCUGUCUUUUCCUUUGGCCUUGUUCUUACCUGCAAGACAAUGAGAAAGAGAGCAAUCAGUCAGCACUUGGAAUCAAGCUUCCAGCCAGGAACUGACUGCCUGGAACCCCUUACCCUGGCAUUGCUCUCGAGUACUCAUCUUCAACAUCUUAUGCUUCCAAGGAAGAUAUCGCAUCUGCCUGAGGAUAGGGCAAGUGAGAAGGAUACAAGGAAGCAUGUGGAGACAAGCGUAACAGCACACGUGCCGAUACAUCCACUACUCUGUCAAAAGAAAAAGUAUCCCAUAUCAGCAGGGUCGAACGUACUCUAGAUUUGAUGGACUUGUUUUGACCCUCAAAUUCUUCAGUCGGCCUUAUACUUUGGAGGAAACCAGAAAACCCUCCAGGCCAGUUCAAGAAUAAGCCUGUGGAAAGUUACUUCUUCAAAAGCAAAAGUAUCCCAUAUCAUCUCUUCUCAUUUUUCUUCUCUUUAUCCUUCAUGCUGCCUGCAAGAUAGGGAGAAUGUGAACAAUCAGCCGGAGCUCUGAUUGCUUACCUUGUCUGUUACCUCCUUCAGCAGAUCCCUCCCCUAGCUCGGCGACUUGGGGGACUCCUACUACAUGGUUUGUAUCGCGCUUGACCAAGCCUGAAACUACAAGUAAGCUUCAAGUGACAUUGAUACAUUACCUUGUGCAUCUCCACCAGUUACAGAUACCACCCUUGGAUGGAGGAAGAGUACUUCCAGAGAAGAUUCCACAUCUACCUAUGAGACAGAUAAGGAAAGUCAAGCCGAUACCACACUCCGGGACUUAGAAGUUUCGUGGUUACGAGAUCAUUCUCCCACAAUAUUUCCUAAUGUCAUUUGUACUAAAUCAUUCACUUGUACUCCCUAAAGGAGAGCUUGAACCUAUGUACUUGUGUGUAAACCCUUCACAAUUAAUGAGAACUCCUCUAUUCCGUGGACGUAGCCAAUCUGGGUGAAUCACGUACAUCUUGUGUUUGCUUUCCUAUCUCUAUCCAUUUAUAUACUUAUCCACACUAAUGACCGGAGCAAUCUAGCGAAGAUCACAAAAAGUGACCGUUUUCGCUACCUAGGAUCUAUCUUGCAAGAGAACGGAGAAUUAGAUGGAGAUCUCAACCAUAGAAUACAAGCUGGAUGGAUGAAGUGUAAGAGUGUAUCCGGCAUGUUGUGUGAUCGUCGUAGGCCACUGAAGCUCAAGGGAAAAUUUUAUAGGACGGCAAUAAGGCCAACGAUGUUGUAUGGCACAGAAUGUUGGGCGGUGAAGCAUCAACAUGUACACAAAAUGGGUGUAGCGGAGAUGAGGAUGCUUCGUGGGAUGUAUGGGCACACGAGAAAUGAUAAGAUUGGGAAUGAGGAUAUCCAAGGUAAAGUAGGAAUAGCCAAAAUUGAAGGAAAUAUGAGAGAAAAUCGGUUCCGGUGGUUUGGACAUGUGCAAAGAAGGCCUACUGACGCUCCGGUUCGAAAAUGUGACUACGGGACAGAAGUUCAGGGCCGAAGGGGUAGAGGAAGACCUAGGAAAACUUUGGAAGAGACCCUAAGAAAAGACUUGAUUACUUGGAUCUAACGGAGGACAUGACACAAAACCGAGCGCAAUGGCGUUCUAGGAUUCAUAUAGCCGACCCCACUUAGUGGGAAAAGGCUUUGUUGUUGUUGUUGUAUUUUUUUUUCCUAUAACUUCCUAGGCCAUUUAUACAACAUUAAAUUAAAUUAAGUAACAUGAAGCAACAUUAAAUAACAUUAACCAACGAUCAACAUGAUGUCAGCUACCAACGGCUAGCUGACGUCAUGUUGUUGUCACUUAGCCGUUGGAUUUGAAUUUAAAUUGUAGUUUUUAAAUAAUAAAUUAUGUUUGGCCCUCGGUUGGAGACGGUUUUUUGUGACAGGGCUAAAACGAGCCUUCUGGCCCUUUGGCCCUUGGUUGGAGACGAAGGCAAAUAUGACCUUGUACUGUUCAUUAAAAUAUUAAUAUCUUAGAGAAUCUUGGAGGGCCAGAGGGCUAAAACGAGCCCUUUAGCCAGUCCUCGGUUAAAGAUGGCCUUAAUCCUCCAUUUAAUUCAUUAUGGGCUAGGUUUUCUUUCUAUUGGGAUAAUUUUGGGAAUUUAUUUUUGUCCACGUUGGGCUCUGUAAUUCAGCUCAUGUAAAAUUAGGAGUCUUUGUCCUUAUGGUUGAUUUUGAGGUGAUUUUGGUUAAAAAAAGUAGAGAAUAAUUUUUGGUUAGAAUAGUCUUAGUCCAGGCCAUUUUCAUUAAAACUCCCUUUGUAGUGUUAAGAGUGUGAAUUGCACAUGAAAAUUAAAGGGACCUUAAAUGUACUUAUAAGGAUGUAAAUUUGCUUUGGAACUUCAACUUAUUUUUUGGUAUGAGAGAUUAAACCUGAGUCUUGAGCUCAACGACACGUACUUCCAUAUCAUUUAAUAUUGUUAUUCACAUGGUAGGCUAAACGAUGUCACAUGUGAAAAACGUUUUGAAACUUGAGAAUGUGAAUCUCAAGUCAAAAAAUUAAACUGAGGUGGAAAAUUAAACAAGCGAGUGGACAUAAUAACAUUCUUUAUAAAACCCCAACCGUUCAACCUAAAGCCCACGAAUAAACCCAUGAUUCAUAUAAAAUUAAAAGCCCAACCCAAUUUAACCAAAAAUUCCAAGAUAUGAAAAAGAUGUAGAACUAGGUCCGCAUCGCAAGCGUUGAUCCAUGGACCAAAUAGAAACAGCAUAGCAUAUGUGUGAUAUAAGAUCCAACACAAACACUCGCUCAAUCUCAACCGUUCAUCACAGACCUCAUUAAAUCAUCUCGAUCAUUAUUAACUGGAUGGUCCAUUUUACCCUUCUCAGCAUAUGAGAUGAGGUCCGCUUACUGAGCUCUCCUUCAUUUCCCACCUGAGCAUUCUCGCUUCUUCUCCCCCAAUCUCGUUCUCGUCGAUUACCUGAUUCGGCGACGCAUCGCGUUUCGUCCGCCGCAGCUCCACCAUGGUACGCAACCGACAUCUCAAUUCGUCCACAUUUUUUUAUGAUUUUUUUUUUUCAGGCUUAUUAUUCACCUCCCUAGGUUUAACUCUGAUUCAACUUCGCUUUCAUGUUGUGUCAGUCCGUGAUGGUUUUGUAUGUUAAUUUUCUCUGAAAUGUUUGGUUUUAGUAGAUCUGAUAUGGGGUUUUCUGCGUUUUCUGUUUCUGUUAUCUGUUUGUUUGGUGGAAAAAUUGAGGAAGAUAGCUGGAAAGGGAUAGAAAAUCGAAUUUUGAAUAGCUGGUUAGGUUUUCACCGAAACAGACAAUUCUGGAUGCCCUCAGACAGAAGCCAGGUUCACCUGCCCAAUGCCAAUGAUACGCAGAGCUAGCUUUGAUACGUAUUGGAGUUAUCAUUCGCUAAGCCCGUCUUUUCUAAGGCUUGAUUGGAGAAAGGUUCUGACUUUAGGCUUCAAAUGGAUUGCGAGUAUUUCGGUCUACAUUAUUUACCACCUCCAUCGUUAACAUUUUUGUUCGGAUAAAAGCCGCGUGGGGACUAUCGGGGAAGUCCUCUUAGGUUUAUUGGGUUAAUUCAAUGUGGGUCAAGGUUCAAUUUUGUGUGAGACUAUCCUCCAGGUCAAACACGUGUAGCUUGGUGUAGGCAAAUUAAAAGGGAACACAUAUAUGGUUAAGAUGUUCUAGGAAUGAUGAAUUGAGGUUGUACAAGCUGCAUUUCAAUCUUAUAACACAUGUACUCGUAUUGCCUUCUUCAUGAAAUGUAGAAUCUUUAAGAAAUGAAUGUUGCGGAUAUGCCACAGCUUUGUUAUAGUACCAAUGUUACACCAUGGUUCUGGUUGUGUAAUUUGAUGUUGGAUUUUUCAUGCAUGUUUCUGUGAAGUUGUUUCAUGUCAACUGUAUUUUGUUUUUCUUGUUAGCUCUGAAGAGUAGAUGUUAUAGGCAUAGGUCACUCUGGAGAAAUAAACUGCGUCUGACUUCUUGUUAAUUUGUAGGCACCCAUCAAGGGUAUACUUUCUCUGCAGAGAGCAGCUUUAGCUCGUCAUCAUGGUGCAAAGUGGGGCCUAGCGUUUAGAUCAUUCAGCACUCAGGGAGCAGCACCCUCUACUACUGCUCAACCUCCACCUCCGCCACCUCCCGAGAAAACUCAUUUUGGUGGUUUGAAAGAUGAAGACCGGAUUUUCACUAACUUAUAUGGGUUGCACGACCCAUUUCUCAAGGGUGCCAUGAAACGAGGUGACUGGUACCGAACCAAAGAUCUAGUUAUUAAAGGUGCUGAUUGGAUUGUCAAUGAAAUGAAGAAGUCUGGCCUACGUGGACGUGGUGGUGCUGGUUUCCCAUCUGGUCUCAAAUGGUCUUUUAUGCCAAAAGUAUCCGAUGGCCGUCCUUCCUAUCUUGUCGUCAAUGCUGAUGAAAGUGAACCUGGAACCUGUAAGGACAGGGAAAUUAUGCGCCAUGACCCACACAAACUUUUAGAAGGUUGCUUGAUUGCUGGUGUUGGGAUGAGGGCCAGUGCUGCUUACAUCUAUAUAAGAGGUGAAUAUGUAAAUGAACGGUUAAACCUUGUAAAAGCUAGAAAUGAAGCUUAUGCAGCUGGAUUACUGGGGAAAAAUGCUUGUGGAUCUGGUUAUGAUUUUGAUGUUCAUAUCCACUUUGGUGCUGGUGCCUAUAUUUGUGGUGAAGAAACAGCGCUUCUGGAGAGCCUUGAAGGGAAACAGGGGAAGCCAAGAUUGAAGCCUCCUUUCCCUGCUAAUGCAGGAUUAUAUGGCUGUCCCACC
RNAcentral lists this long non-coding RNA (75170 nucleotides) under Malus domestica (apple). Its description in RNAcentral is "long non-coding RNA (MDOM_LNC016128)". The record is from RNAcentral. Lineage: Eukaryota; Viridiplantae; Streptophyta; Magnoliopsida; Rosales; Rosaceae.